Molecule: long non-coding RNA, 77815 nt
Filed under: Triticum aestivum (bread wheat)
Lineage: Eukaryota; Viridiplantae; Streptophyta; Magnoliopsida; Poales; Poaceae
Description: long non-coding RNA (TAES_LNC006384)
Source: RNAcentral
UUUUUUUUUUGGUCUUGCUAUUCUAGCAAAGAUUUGGUGAUGUCUAUGUAUCCAAUAUUGUUGAAAAAGUAAAAAAAUGCAUUAUGUUGGAUCAAAUUAAGGUGUAAAUUUAGGUUUUCCGGGUCGAGAGGAGUUGCGCCCGAUGAGACCCUGCAAAACCGAUCCGUAAAAAAGCAUAUUCCGCGAAUAUCCUUUUUACGGGUCCAUUAUGUGGGUCUGUAUCUGCGGCCGUCUGCGCCGACCUGCAAAACCGUUUUUCCGUGAACUGCAAACGCGUUUUGCGGGUCGGUCGGAUACGGGGUCUGCUAGAAUUGCUCUUAGAUUGCUAUGGUAUCUCUCGCAAAGAGCCAUACAUAGAGUUAAUGCAUUUUUCUUUCCUAAAAAAGGUAUUUGCGCAUGGGUAGUCGCUACUGCACAAAUAAUGAUGCGCAUCGCCCGCUCUGAGCAGUAAAGCGUCAAUCACCGACCCGGGCAGGUUUUUCUUUCUUUUUCAGUUGUUUCUUUACUGCUUUUCUUGGUUUCCCCUUUAUUUUAUUUUGUUUUCUGCUUCUUUUCUUGUCUUCUUUUCUUCCCUUUUUUGUUUUUUCAAACAUUGCUCUUUUAAAAUAAUGUUCAAGUUUUUUUAAAAAACUUUAAAUCUAGAAAAACCACACUUACAAAAAAUGUUUGCAUUUUCCAAAAAGUAUGGAAUCAAAAAAAUCAUAUUUCAAAGAAAACAUAACAUUAGCGUAAACUUAAUGAACAUAUGCACUAAAUGACAUCUCUUUUUCUAUAGAAAUUGAAAUACAUGUCAUCUCACUUUAUAUGAUUUUCUUAUUUCUAUUAUAUUCUUAGCCUGUGAACCAAAUGAGGCCUUGAUGUGUCGAAUUUUUUUUAGAAAAGGAGGAUGACCCUCGGCCUCUGCAUCUGGGCAAUGCAUACGGCCAUUUUAUUAAUUAUUCUCACAAGACCUUAUAAAGUUAUACAACAGUAAGACUAAAGUCACCGUCUAAGCAACAAACUGUCGCUACACCUAUCCAGUUGAUGAAGGAGCGCAGAUAGCCUGGGCCUAAUACCAAACAGACAUCGCAGCCAAGCCUAACAUCUAAGACCUGAGACCCCAACCUAGCCACUUGCUGGGUCUGGGGCACACACUGGUCCGACGUGCUCUCAGAGGUCGCCGCCGCCAACUGCCACCGCUCCAUCUUCAGAACUGUACUGAUGCAUCAACCUUGCUCGGUCCAGCUAUCGUCGACGCCACCACGGCGCCCAACGACACCUCCUCCCUGCGCGCAAACAAUUGUAUACGUCGCGGUCGCCACUGAUACACCUCAGCGCCAUGCUGCCAUGUACCACCAGCCGACACAGCUUGAAGCCCUUGGAGCAUCUGUCGUGAGUAGCACCUGCCGGCCAGGCAUGACCAAGCGUAGCACCUGUCGGUCAGGCAUGACUUGACAUCUCCACCGAAGCUCCGUGCAAGACGAAGCCGCUCCACCUCCUGCCUCUGACUUCCAGCGCUGCUCCACAAAACGACGCUCCCAAGAGAGAAACGACACCGCAGUGCCGCCAUCGUCCGGUCUGGAACACCAGACCCUAGGGUUUCCCCCGGAGCAAUACGAGUGGAUCGACGGUAGUCACAUGACGAUGCCUUCAUCAAGGUAACGACGUGGAACGCCGCCAUCGCCCGCCGACGGCUCGGUUUUCACCGGCAACUACGUCUCCCCGACUCGCAGCUGGUGCUAGAUGACGGAUCCCGAGAUCCAAACACCCAGCCUCAGGCCGACCACCUCUGACGGAAGAGAUGACCACCACCGCCGGCUGCACUGUCAGAACAGAUCUGAUCGGAGGUGCCGCUGACGAGACCACCAGGCCCUCCACGCCGCCGUCGCCGAUCUGAAGGCAGCAUGCACGCCGCCGCCGCCAAGCCGGCCGCCGUCGACCGCAGCCGCCGCCGCCGCCCGAAGGGCCAUCCGCAGCGCCCGUAGCCCUGGCCUCCGCCGCGCCAAGUCGUCGUUGUCUGAGGACGGGCCGGCCUCCCGCCGCGUGCCGCCAUCCGCCGCGCCGCAGAUCCCAGAUCGAUCGCGCCACCACACGCCUUGGGGUCCUCCCCACCCCGAAGACGCGCGAGAGAGGAGAUCCCCGCCACCGCCGUCGGCCCCCGGGCUUAGCCCGGCGGCGUCUUCCGGCGGCGGCGGAGGGAGGGGAGGAGGGAGUUUGCGGCGGCGGCGGCGGCUAGGUUUCUAGCCGCCCGAGUUGUUCAUCGGUCACUUUCCAUAUUAUUAAACGUAAUCAGGGACGAAAUCUUCUGAAUUCCAGAGAAAAAAAGACACAAGAGACACAGUGGUGUUCAAACGUACAGUAGUAUGAGUACACUGUUUCGCGAAGUUCGCUUAUUACUGACACUAAUCCAUUCAGUCGAACCAAUCACCACCCAUGGCAACCGUCCGUCGAUCAUGCUGUAUCCUGCAACCGAUGGCAUGCGUGAGAUUCUCAUUAAAGCCCCUUCCCAUCUCACACAUAAUCAGAUUACGAGCUUGCUUACAGUCUUCCAAUCUUAUUAGCUUUGCUUCAUGUUAAGUGCGUGACCCUGACCCUGAUGCUGCAGGUGGCAGUCAUUCAGGAAGGGCACUCACAGAUGUUCAGAAACCCCGACGUUGCUAGGAUACAUUCCAUAAAAUUUGGUCGUUUGGUAACAGGCAUUUCUUCCCCUCAAAAAAAAGAAGGUGGAACAUAUUUCUAGCCAACUAAACUUGGUUCAUUCGCAGUGAAAAACACUUGUAGUAUGCAGAUAAAACAUGUCAUUCAGUAGAUUGUGCCGGUUGGUUCAUACACAGUGCCAUGCUCUCCGCGGAUUCCUUCACGGAUGGUGUAAUUUUUAGGUGAUUCCGCCAAGUCGUUAAGCAUGAAAACGAAGGCAGAGAUUGCCAGCAGCAGGAGGAGGCAGGAGCACGGAUGCGCUGUACUCCCCUCAGAGGCCCAUAUGUUUGACCUGGACUAGUGCACCGUACACGAAAAUUAGUACUAGCAGUACUACAGCAGCAACAGCACCAGCACGACCUUGCUCGUACGUAGCGACGCGUGACGUGCACGGAGUUUGUUUAGCUCCCUAAUCCCUAAACCUGCUGAUUAACUAGCAGCUCGAUCGAGCACUGGAAAUACGGGACUUAAUCGUCGGAGGUUGAGAAGUUGAUUAUACAAUGAUCUUUCCUCUGUCGGGUAUCGAGCACAUUGACACACUGUUAAGCAACUCAGGGACAGAGUCAGCGACAGACACUAUAAUAAGUGGUAGGAAACCUAAAACAAAAAGGUAAAAAUACAUGGGAAUUGAGCAGAUGCAGGCGCGCCUCGAUACUGAAAGAUUUACAUUCAUCGAAGCAGAGUACGUAAACUUACAGAAAAAGAUCAGGAGAAAAAGGUCGGAUAGUUUGUCAGCUACUCGUUCAUCGAAGAGAGGGACCGGUAAAAAAACGGCCAAACCGCAAGCUAUAUUUAUAUUUACACGAACGGAAAUCUGAAGAAAGGAAGGAAGAAAAAGGAUCGGUGAAACAUUGGCAAAAUUAUCUUCAGAUUAAUUACGGCCGACGUCCUCAGGAUUCGACACAACGCGCAGUUGCAUUCAUGCAUACGCGUCAAUGGGCGCGUGUACGUAGUAUACACGAGACUUAUCCUACGCCCAUCAGUCAGUAAAUCACAAUGCAGCCAUCUACUCCAGCACGGUACAGCGGCUGCUUCAAUUCAAGAAAGCCUGCAUGGUUCGGUCCAACUCAACAUGCACGCAUGAAAAAUUGGGAGCGUACCAACUCUAGAGCUCUCCCGUACAAGCACAGAAAAUCAUGCGAGCGUCCGUGUAUGCGUAGAUGCUACACGUCUAACCUAGACAUCUAGGUACACUCUUACAUGACCAAAACUCGUGUAGUUAGUAGUACGUUUGAAACAGAGAUUAGUAGUACUACCAAGUAAUCGUUAGAAGUAUCUUUAUCUUAGCUUGUCUAAUCCCUAGUGCAUAUGUAUACGAAGAAGGCACCACGCACGCCAAAACUUUUGAUUCUUGAGUCCAACAAACCAUGAAACAUAUAUACUCUCUACUGUUCUUUCACUUUUUCUUGAAAGCUUUGGAACAUGCUCAUGAAUCGGUUAGGUCGGCAUUUAUUCGUUUUUUGUAGGGUAGCAAGUUAAGAAGGCAGGGCCAUCCCAUGGAUGCCCAUGCAUCGGCAUGCAUGAGACUUAUCAAAGGAGAACGCAUGCAACUUUCUGCGCACAGUACAUGGGGCUGAACCACGAACACCUCACCCCCAAUGCACGGAUAUGGUAAAAUAAUAAAGGGAUCAGCGGCAGCUACCUUGGCCAGGAGCCAAGCGAAGCAAUAACCCAUAAUAAUAUGGGUGCAUAUGCGCAGAGAUAAGUCAGAGGCUAUAGCUAGCCAGCAUGUGUGUACUUCCAAGAGAGUGAACCAAAGCAACUAUAUGCAAUAGUAUUAUUCGUAUUAUUACCAUGUACAUCCCUCACCUCUAUUCCAUUGUACUCUACUGGCAAGUCAAAUGGAGAAGAAGCACAUGGACAUGGAUGAGGCGACGACGUGUGCAGUGUGCAUGGUAAGAACAAACCGUGGAGCUCAGGAUAGAUAGCGCUUCGGACGAACAGAUCGAUGAACCAUCAAGAGCCGGCCGGUCUCUUGCUGGUUGCAAUAAACCUAGGCGCUAUCCCUCCUGAGCUUCAAGGAUUGUUCCCUACCCUCUUCUCGGCUCUUCCGGCGGGUGAACUCCGGCGAGUUCCGUCGUGGUUUCGAAUUGGUGGAGGGGAAGAAAGAAGAAGCAAUGCGAUGAGAAGCUAGCCAAAGAGAGGGGGGAUGCGGUGAGCUAGCUCCUGCAUAUGUAGCUAGAGAGUGAAGUGGUGGAGGAAGAGAGUGAGGAUGGAUUGGUCCCGGUGGUGGCUCUUGCUGUAUUUAUAGUGAGAGGCUCACCUCUCUCUCUCUCUCUCUCUCUCUCAUGCAUGUGUGUAUGUGUGUGAGAUGAGACAACUGUCACAUUUCUUGAGGCAUGGGGGAAGGGAGAGGGAGAGGAGGAGGGGGAGGGGGAGAAGGGUCUCUUUGAUCUGUGCAUUCUCUCUUGCUGUUAGUUGAAGCAAGCUAGUAUCUUCCAAACAAACAAACAAUUUUUGUUUUGAAGCAAGCUAGCUAAGCUAGCUAGGUGCAGUGCCACUGCAUGCAGCUGGGUGGCUACAUGGCUACGUGGACUAGUUCAGCUACUUGCACGAAUCCAUCCUUGCAAAAAAUACCAAAAUAAAAAAUUUCAAAAAAAUACAUAAUAAAAAUAGUACUUCAUGUGCAUGGAUGGAUUCCCUGCUUAAUAAAGUGUGGUGUCAACCACUUGGUACCACCAUGCAUGCAUGCACGCCUCUCAUCUCACCCCACCUCUCUCCAUCAACAAGGCAUGCAGUACAAUUUUCAAUUUCCCCAUGUAUGAAUAACAACAUGACGAGUGCUAGAGACAAGGGCAUGCAUUCGCCAUGCAUAAAUGAGAAGUCCGGUACAGUGCUAGCUACCGUGCAUGUCUAAGGUAUCUGACAGCAAACCAUGCCCAUCAAUGUAAAUCCCUGUGACCGGACGACCACACCGUCCCACAGAGAGAUGCGAUCCAUCGAGCAUAUAUGCGCGGCUCACAAGCACCGAAUCUUUGCAAAUUUUCACAAACCAAAAAUAUUUACGCAUGCGACUAGAUGCAAGUGGGUACAAUAUGUAGUGCUACUCCACUGGAGGUCCGGAGCCACUACAAAUUCAUUUUUACUCCUGCAUGAUAACGGUGUCACGGUCAUGAUUUAUGCAUGUACUUGCUCGGUUGAAAAACAACUUGUGUGCAAAAAUGUAGAGCAAAGUUUUUGUGUUGAUUCUUUCUCCCUGCAGGGGCUGGGACCUGGGAGUGAGAGUUGUACUGUGUUCCUUUACGUCAACUGAUGGUGACGGUGAAAAUCUUGUGAUUAGACAGCGGAGGUAGCUUUGGUCAGGUAUCAUGGAUCUAGCUUUUGGUUUAUUUGCCCAUGAUGUGAGAAGGCCUUGACCAAUUUUAUGCAUGGUCAAAUGCCGAUAAAAGACAAGCAUGCAUGCUCAAAUCAUUAUCACAUCAUUCGCUUCCUAGACUCUGGCUAGAGUUUGAAAGGUACUAACAAAGACUAAAAACACACUAGUGGUUUGAAAAAGGUAGCAAAGGUGAACAGAAAAAUCUAGCACAUCGGAAGCUCAGCUUUAGCACACCAGUGCCGGAAAUGGCCAGGAGAAGAUGGAAUUUUUCGUGAAAGCAAAAUUAUUCGACAAAGCAUUUAAAUCGAUACAUGAAUGUGCCUAAAUCAUGUUCAUCAAUGUAGCACUCAAGCACCAACAAUCCAGUGAAUGUUUGUACUACAGUCAUAAUAGGGUUGGCCCCCAGGUACCGCUUCUGUACGUACUACGUACACAACAGUGCCGGAAAAGCUAUAACAUGACCACAUUUCCAGCUAGUACAUGCACUGGAAAAUAGUAUUUGGACAUGUUAAACAUGUACAGGAAAAACUGAUUCAUGCACAUUUUGUGCAAUUCAAUUGUUAGUAAACCCUAACAUCCAGCAGACGAUAAUUGGAUAACACACUCCUAUUUUUCUAGACCCCUUCUAGUAGUCUUGAUUUGACAGCCAGGACCCUUCCUCUCCCUCCUCCUCCUCGGCAUCAAAACCCUCCACGGCGCCACUUUGCCUUCCUCUUCUUGCCCCGGAUUCGACGACUACGUCAUCGGUUAAGGCACUUCCUCAAAACCCACACGGACUCCAAGGAUACCCCCAACAAUAACCUACCUCUCCCCCGGGUCAGUACCUCCUCCUCCUCGACACCGAAACCCUCGACCACUAGUCUGACUUCCUCUUUGAUAUGGUGUACGACAUAUGGUACAUGGUAGCCCGAACCAUAACCUCUAAACCACAUUCUCACCACCCUAUUUACGUCCUAUCCGCCGGUGAUGUUGAAAUAUAUUGCGGGUCCUACCCAUCAGUUUAAACUUUUGAAUGAACUGACUAGUCCUUGAUUUCAAUAGGUGAAGCACCACCCACUUUACCACCGCCUCCAGCACAAUUGCACAAAGGAAGUAUUGCAUCCGCCGGCACCAGCACACUUGCAUUGGCACCACCACAUCCGCAAGGGUAGCACAAAUACACGUCCGCCCUCCGACUUAUUGAAUAUAAACUUUUUGGAGACGUCACCAAAAACUUGUAGUGAGAAGAAUAUGAGGUCUCUUUGGUUCAAAGGAAAAGUGGAGAAUAAUUGGAGGAAUAGAAAAUUUUCCUAUGGCGAUAAUAAUCAUGAUUUUGUCUUUUUAAGAAGAAAGCCGAAUUCUAACACACACUUCAACCCGUGUGAAUUUGGCAGAGCCGGAUUAAAAGAAAGGAAGGUCAUGGAUGGGGCGAUGAGAGACACACAUGCCAUUGCGGUAGUCAGAAUGACAGGAGAUCUGGGGUGGCUGGGUGCGCCAUAUCUUCUGACCAGGGGCGCCUCGAUCUUCAUGGCAAAUGUCAGAUGGUGAUCUCCAGCUUCCCGUGGGGGAAUUAAAGCGCGCGAGCGCAUGCAGCGCCAUUGCACAUCUUUUGGCAUCUUUUCCUCGGCACCCAUCUCAUUCAAGGUAUCGUCUCGAGCUCACCAGCGCCUACCUCUCUUGAUCCUAGCUAAUUACGUGCAUGUUUCACUUUUUCCCAGCACGCGCAGGCCUGCUAUCUCCUCUCCAAACCAUCAUCUGCCUCUGCUGUCUAUGGUUGAAAUUUGGUGGUACAUAUAUGGUAAAAAUGUAUCACUACUAGUAAUACCAUCUUUUAAUAAACUUGUGGGUUAACAGUAAAGAAACCUAGGCUUUCUUCAAAGAAAAAACCCUAAGCUUAUUGAGAGCACGUAUACCCCAGGUACCUGAAAAAACUUGUUGCAUCAGUCAGUUUUAUUUUGAACUGCUAGAUCGUCAUCCAACGGCCUAAAAUUGAUUGUACAAUGUUCACCUUCAACCUCCCUCAUGCACGCCCCCUGUUUACCCUGCUCCAAUCGCCGGCCUCCGCCACCCACGGACGGCGGGUGCUAUCGCGCACCGUCUCGCCCUCUCCCCACACACUGUUGCUGGCCACCACACCGCCCAUCCCUCCAAAUCCCCUGAUUUGCGGAAGUUCCGACNNNNNNNNNNNNNNNNNNNNNNNNNNNNNNNNNNNNNNNNNNNNNNNNNNNNNNNNNNNNNNNNNNNNNNNNNNNNNNNNNNNNNNNNNNNNNNNNNNNNNNNNNNNNNNNNNNNNNNNNNNNNNNNNNNNNNNNNNNNNNNNNNNNNNNNNNNNNNNNNNNNNNNNNNNNNNNNNNNNNNNNNNNNNNNNNNNNNNNNNNNNNNNNNNNNNNNNNNNNNNNNNNNNNNNNNNNNNNNNNNNNNNNNNNNNNNNNNNNNNNNNNNNNNNNNNNNNNNNNNNNNNNNNNNNNNNNNNNNNNNNNNNNNNNNNNNNNNNNNNNNNGCAACGCCGCAACUCGCUUCACAACGUCGUCCCUGGCUGGGCCUCGGCGUGGCUGACGCUUGUCGUUGCCGUCCUCAUGUCAUCCUUGCCUUCGGCCUUGCGCAAAGCAGAAAUUGACUCAAGUGGGGAAAAAAUCAGACACAUGAAAUUUAGCAAACCGAAGCUUUUUAAGGGAGGGCCGAUUUUGAAAUCACAUUGUUUGCACCUUAGCUGUACCAAAACACAAUUUAUUGAUCAACUGCAUUUUCACCGAAUCCACCAUUGACCGUGACCUACUCAUGGGCAGGGGUGGCUUUAACCAGAUGGACCAGAUUUGACAUAAAUUACACCCAUGUGCAACUGAAUCAAGGGGGUGCCCUGGUACUGCCCACACCCCUCAUACUACCACCACAGGUCACAGCAAUAAACAGAGGGGCUGUGAUGUGCGAUCGCAAAGGCUGCAGGGAUGUGAGCUGGUGUGGGAGGAAUUUCUCUGGCGCUGGAAAGCUCAUUCCUGAACCGGUCCAUAAACAAAUGCAUGCAGUCGGAGUAAUUGUUUAUGCGCCCCAACUCUGACUACCUACUGUCCUACUGCUACCCUGAUGCUAGCCAGGCUAGCUGCUGCUUCUGCUGCUACGUACGGCUCGUCGCAGUAAACUCGCCAUUCACUCCGGCGACUUUACUGCUGCAUCUCACCGCCGGGCCUAUGGAGCACUGCCGUCGUUCAAAAACCCACGGUGCUUUUCUCUUUUCCAAUGACUGUGAUAUUACAGUGGGGAGUAACUUAGACUAGUGUCAUGCAUAUGACAUUAGUCUAAGUUACUACCUUCAUAAUGCAAAGUAACAUACUACUAAUAUCAUAUAUGGCUUCAUUUAUUAGCUUCUAGACUCAUCUUGUCUUGGAAAGCGUUAUGUUACAGUAACAUAUUAUGUUAUCACCUCUCAUUAAUUACUUGCCACAUAAGCAGAAUUUUCUCGAAGUGUGCUAUGUUACUAGCUAAGUUACUCUCACUAUGACUAGCGUUAUGUUACUUUGCAUUAUGAAGGUAGUAACUUAGACUAGUGUCAUAUGCAUGACACUAGUUUAAGUUACUCCCCACUAUGACCAGCCUGACUAGCCUUAUAAGGCUUAAAUCUGAAAUCUCAUCAACCAAGGCGUAUGUUGAGUGGAGAAAUGUAUCUCGUACUUUACAAAACUACUCAAACUAAAUUGAUGCAUUAAUUGGUAUUAAUUGCAGUGCAUGCAUGCUUGACCACUAGAUGAGUAGUAGCAUUACAUGCAUUGGUGAAUUCCUUUUUAAUUCUUGCAUGCAAAGAUUUAAUGCGUCUUGGAACCUUAAAAGAAGAUGGAGAUGAGUCUUAUAAAUUGAAAAAAUGAAAAAAUGAGAUAAACCUUAUAAACCGAAAAGGAGUACUGUGCGUGUAGUAGAACCGAGGUGGAGAGAACGACGGAACUUACGAGAAAUGAUUCAGAAAUUUCUUCAGCAUGAAUAAGGUUUCUCCACACGAACUAGUAUUUUACCUCUUGUAACUCAUGGUAAAAGUAAAGAGCAGUUUUAAUAUGCUUCUUGUUACCUCAUCUUUCGAAGCUCAAGAUUAGGAUUUACCCCUUCAGUAAAAUGAUUGCGUUCUUCUAAUCUCUGUUCGCUGCAUUGAGAGAAUAGGGAUUAAAAUUAGUUGAUCAUGCAUGUAUGAGAAUACCCUUUAAAUAAAUUUAAAAUUCAUCUAAACAUUUAAGGGGAUGUAGCUAAGCAAAACUCAAUGUAUAGCGUAUCAAACAAAUCAAAGGUAUCGCAAAUUCGCACAAGUCUCCUAAGUCAUGGCCCAGAAACGGCCUAAGAGAUGGUUUUGCAUUUAUCCUUCUUAUCCUAUGAAUAAAGUAUUCUUCCUCGACAAUUUUUCUACGGUGAUCAGAUUGAGAUGGUUGUGGAUGAAAUGUUUGUGGGGAAAUACCUUGUGUUGGUAUGGUAACCAGUGCAACACAACAGAUGUGAAGAUCUUCUACACCGUUAUCAAGAUUGUCAUUGAUAAUGGAAAAGGUUUGAUUCGGCUUGGCUACCUAGGUAGGUGUGGGUCAAAGACAUUACCCCUGUAGUUAUGUGUCAAUCAUGAAGAAGAAGUGUAUUCCACGAGCAAGUUUGGAUGUAUAAGAGCAUGGUUAAUAAUAUAGCCAACAAUCGACUAUAAGGAGUUGGCAUGUCAUCUAGAGCCAACCUUGUAGCCGGCAUGUAUAAUAGUAAAUUUAAUAUGUGUACUACUUUAUUAGUAGUUGGCCCAUCUUACAACCUCAUAAAGCGUCUUGGGCUCGUGCUAGAACCGGCUAUUAACCAAGAGCCCGCUUCUCUUUUCUCUCCUCCAACUAAGCAAAGAUAUAAUAUUCUAGUCCUUAUAGCCAACUUAUGUCACCUUAUUAUACUUGCUCUAAGAUUGACGAGGAUGCAGGCAUUACGAGCAAUUCCUUCGCUUAAUUUGGACUCAAUUUAAGGCAUUGCCUUGACCUCUGGUAGCAAUUGAUUCCAUCGUGUGGAAGUACACAAAGCUCUGGAGCUACAUCUCCUCACUCAGAUAUUGCAAUUCAUUGGAGCAAUGGCCAUGAUCAUGUGCCCCAUGAUCUAAGACGCCCCACUGAUAACAGAGGGUCCAAUGUACAUAUUUCUUGUAUGGCUUGUGGACCAAAGCAGGAUUUGGAUUGCUGCAGUUCAGAUAGCAAUCCCUGCCAUGGCGAGGGUGUGGUUCAUAGAUCUCAGAGUUUCAUGGGGAAUUACAGAGAGAUUCAGAGGAGGAGGAAGCUAACUUGGGGAAGAAGAAGAUACAGAACAGAGUAGUCUGUUGGUACAACUCAUCGAUGCCUCACUACUACCACACAACAUGCCUAAAUACGCUACAAGACGGGCCGAGACAGAACGGCCCACACGCACACGGCUCCAGGCCCACUGGGUCGUGGCACUCCCUUCCCCUUGCAGCCGGCUUGUCCCCAAGUUGGCACCAGUUCAGAUAACACACUUGCCCACUCCCAGGUUGCCAUCGACAUCGGCAGUCCACUCCAAGCGACCUUGUACUGCUUCCUGGUGCGUCCUCCGAAACGAACCAAACGAGAAUCGAGAACUUGACAUGGUUUGGGCACAGCAGGGCAAACCUAAGCAUACUGCAAUAAUUCUGAAGUUGGUACUUGUUCUUCUGGUGGUUUAGCCGGUUUCAGCAAGGAAACAUGCACCACCGGAUGGAUUUUACAGGAGACAGGCAGCUGUAGACGGUAAGCAACAUCUCUCACUCGCUCCAAGACCAGAUAAGGUCCAAAAUACUUGAAACCUAACUUGUGAUUGGUACGCCUUGCUACUGACUGUGCAUAUACGGCUAAAGUUUCAGAAAGACCCAAUCACCGGCAGAAAAAACUCUGUCAGAACGAUGCUUGUCCUCUUGUGUCUUCAUGCGUUGCUGAGCCCUAAGAAGAUGUUCUCGAAUAGUUGUAGUCAUAGCAGUGCGCUCUGCCAACCAAGUGUUUAAGUCACUCGAGGUGGAGGACUGCAGAUUGGCAACUCCCAAGUGUCUUGGUUGGUAACCAUAUAGCACCUGAAACGGAGUUUUGCCCAGAGCAGAAUGGAAAUUGGUAUUGUACCAAUACUCGGCCUAGGGAAGCCAGUAGGCCCAUUUUUUAGGAGCAGAAUGAACCAUACAACGAAGGAAAGUUUCCAGGCAUUGAUUUAGCUUCUCAGACUGCCCAUCUGUUUCCGGAUGAUUGGCUGAACUCAUACUCAUCUUAGUGUCGGUUAAUCUGCAAAGUUCUUGCCAAACAGUGCUAGUGAACAAUGGAUCUCUGUCUGUAACCAAAACCUUUGGGAGACCAUGUAGAUUGUACACAUGAUCAAGGUAAACUUGGGCCACUGUCAAUGCAGUAAAUGGGUGGGACAGGGGAACGAAAUGCCCAUACUUGGUAAAUUUGUCUAUAAUGACCAGAAUAGUAUCAUAGUUCUUACUUUUGGGAAGUCCACUGAUAAAAUCCAUAGUUAUCAUGUUCCAGGCUUCUGUAGGCACAGGAAGUGGACUCAACAGUGCAGGUUUCUUAAUAUGCUCCACUUUAGCUUGCUGACAGACUGCGCAAUCCCUCACAUAUUGUUGGAUGUCCUGUUUCAUAGAAGGCCAGGAGAAAAGGGCCUUAAUUCUUUGGUAAGUGGCCUGAAAACCUGAGUGGCCGCCUACUGCAUUGGAAUGAAGAGAUAUGAGUAUAGCUUGGUGAGCAUCUUUGUUGUUUCCCAACCACACUCUUCCUUUAUGUCUGAUCACCCCUUGUAAUAGCUCAAAUCCUCUGGCAUUAGAGCCAGUAACACUGAGUUCAGUUAAUAAUUCUUGAGCUUGAGAGUCUUGUAAGUAUCCUUCUGCGACCACUUCUAGCCACUGAGGAGUACAAUAAGACAGGGCCAACAAGGCUUCAGAACCAAAAACUCGAGAUAAGGCAUCAGCAGCAGUAUUUUCAUGACCUUUUUUGUACACUACAAUAUAGUUCAGUCCCAUAAGCUUCAGUAGGGCUUUUUGUUGAAUUGUGUUGGAAACCUUUUGAUCAUGUAAAUGUAUCAAACUUCUAUGAUCUGUACUGAUAACAAAAGGAGCAUGCUGCAGAUAAGCUUUCCAUUUCUCUACUGCCAACAAAACUGCCAGGCACUCCUUUUCAUAAGUAGAAAAUCCUUGUGCUUUAGGACCUAGGGCUUUGCUCAAGUAUGCAAUUGGGUGACCUUCCUGCAGUAGGACAGCACCAAUGCCCACAUUGCUAGCAUCAGUUUCCAUAGUGAAGGUUUUCUUGAAAUUAGGCAAGGCUAGCACAGGUGAGGAUAAUAGAGCGUGCUUGAGGUGCUGAAAGGCAGACUCAGUGGUAGGUGUCCAUACAAAAACAGUGUCCUUCUUGAGCAAAUUAACCAAACUUCUGCUAAUAACCCCAUAAUCUUUGAUGAAUUUUCUGUAGUAGCCUGUGAGCCCUAAAAAAAACCUCACCUCUUUCACAUUCUUAGGGACAGGCCAGUCCUGAACUGCUUGCACUUUACCUGGGUCAGUGCUGACUCCAUUUUUGCUCACAACAUGUCCCAAGUAUUCCAAUUUUGGCUGAGCAAAAGAGCAUUUGCUAAGGUUAACAUAGAACUGGUUUUGUUCCAAGAUAGCAAAAACUUCCUUAAGAUGUUGCACAUGCAAUUCCAAUGUAGGGUUGAACACCAAUAUAUCAUCCAUAAAGAUUAACACACAUUUUCUGAGUAAGAGAGCAAACAGCCUGUUCAUGGCAUCUUGAAAUGUGGCAGGGGCAUUAGUAAGACCAAAAGGCAUUACCAGGAAUUCAAAAAGCCCAUGAUGUGUUUUGAAAGCUAUUUUGUGUUCUUCUCCAGUCCAUAAUCUGAUUUGAUGGUAUCCAGAUUUGAGAUCCAAUUUGGUAAACCAUUGAGCACCAGAAAGUUCAUCCAAUAAUUCCUCCACUACUGGCAUUAGAUAUUUGCGUUUGACUGUGAUUGCAUUUAAGUGUGUGUAAUCCACACAGAAUCUCCAAGUGCCAUCUUUUUUCUUAACCAAGAGGACAGGAGAAGCAUAAGAGCUAGAGCUUAACUGGAUUACUCCCUGUUUUAGCAUGUUCUUCACUUGUUGCUCAAUCUCAGUUUUCUGCAUUGGGUUAUACCUGUAGGGUUUUACAUUGACAGGCGGUGCUCCAGGUAACAAUGGAAUUUUAUGAUCAAAAGCCAUGGAAGGAGGCAGUGCAGCAGGAUCCUCAAAGACUUUGGUGUGGCUGUCCAAAACUUCCUGGACAGCUAUGGGAAUGACCUUAGAAGGAGGUAAUGUAGCAGGGUCUACAAGGACUUUUUUGUGGCUGUCUAGCACUUCCUGUACAGCUGGAGGAAUGGUCCCAAUAACAGGAGAAAAUUUUGACACAUAAUUAAGUUGCAAAAUGUGAUCCACUGCAGCAAUAGCUAGCAACCCUUUUAACUGCUUCCCAGACACUUUCUUGUAGGUAUGUAACACAUCUGUAACUCCUCUUAGUGUGACUUUCUUAUCAUUGUACUUGAAUUUCAUGAUUUUCUUCUUCCAAUCCACCCACAUGGGACUCCUAGUUUCCAGCCAGUUCAUGCCCAGAAUUAGAUCAUAAUUCUCCAAUGGCAAUGCUUUUAAAGAAGUAUUGAAACAUGUGCCUUGGCACCACCAUUGUAGGUCACAAACUUGUUUAGUGCAUAGCAAAGUACCCCCACCAGCUACAGUAAUAGUUGCAGGUGGUAAAGCAUCUACAGGACAAUUUAAAGCUUCCACCAGUUGUUCACUGAUAAAAUUGUUGGAGCUGCCUGAAUCUAUGAGAAUGAGCAAGUGUCUCUUCCCAAUCAUGCCUUGCAAUUUGAUACUCUCCUUGCAGGAAGUACCACUGAAAGCUUCUAAGGACAGCUUCAUGAGAGAAGCAGCAGAAUCUGAACUAUUUUCACCAUCAUCAGUAGUAUUCCCAGGUUCAGGUUGUUGUUCUGCUACUGGUGGUUCUGAACUAUCAGAGAUCUGCAAUGCAUCGAUGAGUUCCUGCAUGACAUGCAACUGCACAGUCUUUGGGCACUGAUGCCCAGGUCCAUAUUUCUCUCCGCACUUGAAACAUUCGCCAUGAGCGCGGCGUUGAGCUCUGAGAGAGUCCACCUUAUCAUUAUAUUCGCUCUUGUUCUCUGUCCUGGGCUCAGUCGGAGAGACUCUCAUUAAUCCUUGAUGUACAUAAGGUUUAUACUUGGAUCUGUACAUAGGUUUGUCCGUUGGCACACUGGUGUCCUCUGCCAAAAUAGCUUCUUGCGUUUGAGCAAAGGAAUAUGCCAAAUCAACCGUAACAGGAUGUUGUAACUUAACAGGAGCACGAAUAGCACGUUGCAAUCCUACUAUGAAACGAUUGACAAAGAAUGUUUCAUCAUAGGAAGGAUUGUACACCAGAAUUUUAUGCAUGUACUCUUCAAAUUGAUGAGCAUAAUCAUCUACUGAACCAGUCUGUUGAAGAGUAAAGAAGGUGUCCAUGAGCCUAGAGUAUUUGUGACAAUUGAACUUCGCAAACACAGCAACACACAAUUUCGGCCAACUCUGGAUAUUGUGCAUAGCUUCAUAAGUUUGGAGCCAGAGAGCUGCAUGUUCGAAAUAUGCCCUAGAGGCAAUAAUAAAAUGGUUAUUAUUAUAUUUCUUUGUUCAUGAUAAUUGUCUAUCGUUCAUGCUAUAAUUGUGUUAUCCAGAAAUCGUAAUACAUGUGUGAAUACAUAGACCACAACACGUCCCUAGUGAGCCUCUAGUUGACUAGCUCGUUGAUCAAAAGAUAGUCAUGGUUCCCUGACUAUGGACAUUGGAUGUCAUUGAUAACGGGAUCACAUCAUUAGGAGAAUGAUGUGACGGACAAGACCCAAUCCUAAGCAUAGCUCAAAGAUCGUGUAGUUCGUUUGCUGUAGCUUUUCUGAAUGUCAAGUAUCAUUUCCUUAGACCAUGAGAUUGUGCAACUCCCGGAUACCGUAGGAGUGCCUUGGGUGUGCCAAACGUCACAACGUAACUGGGUGACUAUAAAGGUACAUUACAGGUAUCUCAAAAGUGUCUGUUGGGUUGGCAUGAAUCGAGACUGGGAUUUGUCACUCUGUAUGACAGAGAGGUAUCUCUGGGCCCACUCGGUAAGGCAUCAUCAUAAUGAGCUCAAUGUGACCAAGUGGUUGAUCGAGGGAUCAUGCAUUACGGCACGAGUAAAGUGACUUGCCGGUAACGAGAUUGAACUAGGUAUUGGGAUACCGACGAUCGAGUCUCGGGCAAGUAACAUACCGAUUGACAAAGGGAAUUGUAUACGGAUUGAUUGAAUCCUCGACAUCGUGGUUCAUCUGAAGAGAUCAUCGUGGAGCAUGUGGGAGCCAACAUGGGUAUCCAGAUCCCGCUGUUGGUUAUUUACUGGAGAGGCGUCUCGGUCAUGUCUGCAUGCUAAUAUCUCUACAACCCUAGCGUCACCGAACCUUAAGUGUGUAGACCCUACGGGUUCGGGAGACAUGUAGACAUGACCGAGAUGGCUCUCCGACCAAUAACCAACAGCGGGAUCUGGAUACCCAUGUUGGCUCCCACAUGCUCCUCGAUGAUCUCAUCGGAUGAACCACGAUGUCGAGGAUUCAAGCAACCCCGUAUACAAUUCCCUUUGUCAAUCGGUACGUUACUUGCCCGAGAUUCGAUCGUCGGUAUCCCAAUACCUCGUUCAAUCUCGUUACCGGCAAGUCACUUUACUCGUACCAUAAUGCAUGAUCCCGUGACCAGACACUUGGUCACUUUGAGCUCAUUAUGAUGAUGCAUUACCGAGUGGGCCCAGAGAUACCUCUCCAUCAUACGGAGUGACAAAUCCCAGUCUUGAUCCGUGUCAACCCAACAGAUACUUUCGGAGAUACCCGUAGUAUACCUUUAUAGUCACCCAAUUAUGUUGUGACGUUUGGUACACCCAAAGCACUCCUACGGUAUCCGGGAGUUACACGAUCUCAUGGUCUAAGGAAAAGAUACUUGACAUUGGAAAAACUCUAGCAAACGAACUAUACGAUCUUGUGCUAUGUUUAGGAUUGGGUCUUGUCCAUCACAUCAUUCUCCUAAUGAUAUGAUCUCGUUAUCAAUGACAUCCAAUGUCCAUAGUCAGGAAACCAUGACUAUCUGUUGAUCAACGAGCUAGUCAACUAGAGGCUUACUAGGGACAUGUUGGUGUCUAUGUAUUCACACAUGUAUUAUGAUUUCCGGAUAACACAAUUAUAGCAUGAAUAAAAGACAAUUAUCAUGAACAAGGAAAUAUAAUAAUAAUCCUUUUAUUAUUGCCUCUAGGGCAUAUUUCCAACAGUCUCCCACUUGCACUAGAGUCAAUAAUCUAGUUACAUUGUGAUGAAUCGAACACCCAUGGAAUUCUGGUGUUGAUCAUGUUUUGCUCUAGGGAGAGGUUCAGUCAACGGAUCUGCUACAUUCAGGUCCGUAUGUACUUUACAAAUAUCUAUGUCUCCAUCUUGAACAUUUUCACGAAUGGAGUUGAAGCGACGAUUGAUGUGGCUGGUCUUCUUGUGAAACCUGGGCUCCUUGGCGAGUGCAAUAGCUCCAGUCUUGUCACAGAAGAGUUUGAUCGGCCCCGACGCAUUGGGUAUGACUCCUAGGUCGGUGAUGAACUCCUUCACCCAAAUUGCUUCAUGCGCUGCCUCCGAGGCUGCCAUGUACUCCGCUUCACAUGUAGAUCCCGCCACGACGCUCUGCUUGCAACUGCACCAGUUUACUGCCCCACCAUUCAAAAUAUACAUGUAUCCGGUUUGUGACUUAGAGUCAUCCAGAUCUGUGUCGAAGCUAGCGUCGACGUAACCCUUUACGACGAGCUCUUCGUCACCUCCAUAAACGAGAAACAUUUCCUUAGUCCUUUUCAGGUACUUCAGGAUAUUCUUGACCGCUGUCCAGUGUUCCUUGUCGGGAUUACUUUGGUACCUACCUACCAAACUUAUGGCAAGGUUUACAUCAGGUCUGGUACACAGCAUGGCAUACAUAAUAGAACCUAUGGCUGAGGCAUAGGGGAUGACACUCAUCUCUUCUAUAUCUUCUGCCGUGGUCGGACAUUGAGCUGAGCUCAAUUUCACACCUUGCAACACAGGCAAGAACCCCUUCUUAGACUGAUCCAUAUUGAACUUCUUCAAUAUCUUAUCAAGGUAUGUGCUUUGUGAAAGACCUAUGAGGCGUCUUGAUCUAUCUCUAUAGAUCUUGAUGCCUAAUAUAUAAGCAGCUUCUCCAAGGUCCAUCAUUGAAAAACUCUUAUUCAAGUAGGCCUUAUGUUGGAAAUAUGCCCUAGAGGCAAUAAUAAAAGCAUUAUUAUUAUAUUUCCUUGUUCAUGAUAAUUGUCUUUAUUCAUGCUAUAAUUGUGUUAUCCGGAAAUCGUAAUACAUGUGUGAAUAAUAGACACCAACAUGUCCCUAGUAAGCCUCUAGUUGACUAGCUCGUUGAUCAACAGAUAGUCAUGGUUUCCUGACUAUGGACAUUGGAUGUCAUUGAUAACGAGAUCACAUCAUUAGGAGAAUGAUGUGAUGGACAAGACCCAAUCCUAAACAUAGCAUAAGAUCGUAUAGUUCGUUUGCUAGAGUUUUCCAAUGUCAAGUAUCUUUUCCUUAGACCAUGAGAUCGUGUAACUCCCGGAUAACGUAGGAGUUCUUUGGGUGUACCAAAUGUCACAACGUAACUGGGUGACUAUAAAGGUAUACUACGGGUAUCUCCGAAAGUGUCUGUUGGGUUGACACGGAUCAAGACUGGGAUUUGUCACUCCGUAUGACGGAGAGGUAUCACUGGGCCCACUCGGUAAUGCAUCAUCAUAAUGAGCUCAGAGUGACCAAGUGUCUGGUCACGGGAUCAUGCAUUACGGUACGAGUAAAGUGACUUGCCGGUAACAAGAUUGAACGAGGUAUUGGGAUACCGACGAUCGAAUCUCGGGCAAGUAACAUACCGAUUGACAAAGGGAAUUGUAUACGGGAUUGAUUGAAUCCUCGACAUCGUGGUUCAUCCGAUGAGAUCAUCGAGGAGCAUGUGGGAGACAACAUGGGUAUCCAGAUCCCGCUGUUGGUUAUUGACCGGAGAGCGAUCUCGGUCAUGUCUACAUGUCUCCCGAACCCGUAGGGUCUACACACUUAAGGUUCGGUGACGCUAGGGUUGUAGGGAUAUGUAUAUGCAGUAACCCGAAUGUUGUUCGGAGUCCCGGAUGAGAUCCCGGACAUCACGAGGAGUUCCGGAAUGGUCCGGAGGUAAAGAAUUAUAUAUAGGAAGUGCUAUUUCGGGCAACGGGACAAGUUUCGGGGUCACCGGUAUUGUACCGGGACCACCGGAAGGGUCCCGGGGGUCCACCGGGUGGGGCCACCUGCCCCGGGGGGCCACAUGGGCUGUAGGGGUGUGUGCCUUGGCCUACAUGGGCCAAGGGCACCAGCCCCAAGAGGCCCAUGCGCCUAGGGUUCAAGAAGGGAAGAGUCCCAAAGGGGGAAGGCACCUCCUAGGUGCCUUGGGGAGGAGGGAUUCCUCCCUUGGCCGCCCCCCCCCCUAGGAGAUUGGAUCUCCUAGGGCCGGCGCCCCCCCUUGGCCCUUCUAUAUAUAGUGGGAGAUGGAGGACUUCUGACCCCAUGCCUUUGGUGCCUCCCUCUCCCUCUCCAACACAUCCUCCUCCUCCAUAGUGCUUGGCGAAGCCCUACCGGAGUACUGCAGCUCCAUCACCACCACGCCGUCGUGCUGCUGUUGGAGCCAUCUCCCUCAACCUCUCCUUCCCCCUUGCUGGAUCAAGAAGAAGGAUACGUUACGCUAACCGUACGUGUGUUGAACGCGGAGGUGCCGUCCGUUCGGCGCUAGGAUCUCCGGUGACUUGGAUCACGUCGAGUGCGCCUUCCUCAUCCCCGUUCUUUGAACGCUUCCGCGCGUGAUCUACAAAGGUAUGUAGAUGCAAUCCAAUCACUCGUUGCUAGAUGAAUUCAUAGAUGGAUCUUGGUGAAACCGUAGGAAUUUUUUUUGUUUUCUGCAAUGUUCCCCAACACCUUAAUGCUGUCCAAAAGUUCUAUAUCAUUUCCCAUCAAAAGUAUGUCAUCUACAUAUAAUAUGAGAAAUUCUACAGAGCUCCUACUCACUUUCUUGUAAACGCAGGCUUCUCCAUAAGUCUGCAUAAACCCAAACGCUUUGAUCAUCUCAUCAAAGCGAAUAUUCCAACUCCGAGAUGCUUGCACCAGCCCAUAAAUGGAUCGCUGGAGCUUGCAUACCUUGUUAGCAUUUUUAGGGUCGACAAAACCUUCCGGCUGCAUCAUAUACAAUUCUUCCUUAAGGAAACCAUUAAGGAAUUCCGUUUUGACGUCCAUUUGCCAUAUCUCAUAAUCAUAGUAUGCGGCAAUUGCUAACAUAAUUCGGACGGACUUCAGCUUCGCUACGGGAGAGAAAGUCUCAUCGUAGUCAACCCCUUGAACUUGCCGAUAACCCUUAGCGACAAGUCGAGCUUUAUAGAUGGUAGCAUUACCAUCCGCGUCCGUCUUCUUCUUAAAGAUCCAUUUGUUUUCUAUCACUCGCCGAUCAUCGGGCAAGUCUGUCAAAGUCCAUACUUUGUUUUCGUACAUGGAUCCUAUCUCGGAUUGCAUGGCUUCAAGCCAUUUGUUGGAAUCUGGGCCCGCCAUCGCUUCUUCAUAGUUCGAAGGUUCACCGUUGUCUAACAACAUGAUUUCAAAGACAGGGUUGCCAUACCACUCUGGUGCGGAACGUGUCCUUGUGGACCUACGAAGUUCAGUAGCAACUUGAUCUGAAGUUUCAUGAUCAUCAUCAUUAACUUCCUCUCUAGUCGGUGCAGGCACCUCAGGAACAUUUUCUUGAGUUGCACCACUUACUGGUUCAAGAGGUAAUACUUCAUCAAGUUCUACUUUCCUCCUACUUACUUCUUUCGAGAGAAACUCUUUCUCUAGAAAGGAUCCAUUCUUGGCAACAAAGAUCUUGCCUUCGGAUCUGAGGUAGAAGGUAUACCCAAUAGUUUCUUUAGGGUAUCCUAUGAAGACGCAUUUUUCUGACUUGGGUUCGAGCUUUUCAGGUUGAAGUUUCUUGACAUAAGCAUCGCAUCCCCAAACAUUUAGAAACGACAACUUAGGUUUCUUCCCAAACCAUAAUUCAUACGGUGUCAUCUCAACGGAUUUCGACGGAGCCCUAUUUAAAGUGAAUGCGGCAGUCUCUAAAGCAUAGCCCCAAAAAGAUAGUGGUAAAUCGAUAAGAGACGUCACAGAUCGCACCAUAUCUAAUAGAGUGCGAUUACGACGUUCGGACACACCAUUACGCUGAGGUGUUCCAGGCGGCGUGAGUUGUGAAACUAUUCCACUUUUUCUUAAGUGUGUGCCAAAUUCGUGACUCAAGUAUUCUCCUCCACGAUCUGAUCGCAAGAACUUGAUUUUCCUGUCACGUUGAUUCUCAACCUCACUAUGAAAUUCCUUGAACCUUUCAAAGGUCUCAGACUUGUGUUUCAUUAAGUAGACAUACCCAUAUCUACUCAAGUCAUCAGUGAGGGCGAGAACAUAACGAUAACCACCGCGAGCCUCAACACUCAUUGGACCGCACACAUUAGUAUGUAUGAUUUCCAAUAAGUUGGUUGCUCGCUCCAUUGUUCCUGAGAACGGAGUCUUGGUCAUUUUACCCAUGAGGCAUGGUUCGCACGUGUCAAAUGAUUCGUAAUCAAGAGACUCUAAAAGUCCAUCUGCAUGGAGCUUCUUCAUGUGUUUGACACCUAUGUGACCAAGGCGGCAGUGCCACAAGUAUGUGGGAAUAUCAUUAUCAACCUUACAUCUUUUGGUACUCACACUAUGAAUAUGUGUAGCAUUACGCUCGAGAUUCAUUAAGAAUAAACCAUUCACCAUCGAAGCAUGACCAUAAAACAUAUCUCUCAUAUAAAUAGAACAACCAUUAUUCUCGGAUUUAAAUGAGUAGCCAUCUCGUAUCAAACGAGAUCCUGAUACAAUGUUCAUGCUCAAACUUGGCACUAAAUAACAAUUAUUGAGGUUCAAAACUAAUCCCGUAGGUAAAUGUAGAGGUAGCGUGCCGACGACGAUCACAUCGACCUUGGAACCAUUCUCGACGCACAUCGUCACCUCGUCCUUCGCCAGUCUCCGCUUAUUCCGCAGCUCCUGCUUUCAGUUACAAAUGUGAGCAACUGCACCGGUAUCAAAUACCCAGGAGCUACUACGAGUACUGGUAAGGUACACAUCAAUUACAUGUAUAUCACAUAUACCUUUCGUUUUGCCGGCCUUCUUGUCCGCUAAGUAUUUGGGGCAGUUCCGCUUCUAGUGACCACUUUCCUUGCAAUAAAAGCACUCAGUCUCGGGCUUGGGUCCAUUCUUUGGCUUCUUCCCGGCAGGUUGCUUGCCGGGCGCGGCAACUCCCUUGCCGUCCUUCUUGAAGUUCUUCUUACCCUUGCCUUUCUUGAACUUAGUGGUUUUAUUCACCAUCAACACUUGAUGUUCCUUUUUGACUUCUACCUCUGCUGAUUUCAGCAUUGCAAAUACUUCAGGAAUGGUCUUUUCCAUCCCCUGCAUAUUGAAGUUCAUCACAAAGCUCUUGUAGCUCGGUGGAAGCGACUGAAGGAUUCUGUCAAUGACCACGUCAUCCGGGAGAUUAACUCCCAGCUGAGUCAAGCGGUUAUGUAACCCUGACAUAGUGAGUAUGUGCUCACUGAGAGAACUAUUUUCCUCCAUCUUACAGCUGAAGAACUUGUCGGAGACUUCAUAUCUCUCGACCCGGGCAUGAGCUUGAAAAACCAUUUUCAGAUCUUCGAACAUCUCAUAUGCUCUGUGUCUCUCAAAACGCUUUUGGAGCCCCGGUUCUAAGCUGUAAAGCAUGCCACACUGAACGAGGGAGUAAUCAUCAACACGUGUCUGCCAAGCGUUCAUAACGUCGUGUUCCGCAGGGAGAACAGGUGCGUCACCUAGCGGUGCUUCUAGGACAUAAUCUUUCUUUGCAGCUAUGAGGAUGAUCCUUAGGUUCCGGACCCAGUCCGUAUAAUUGCUGCCAUCAUCUUUCAGCUUGGUUUUCUCUAGGAACGUGUUGAAGUUGAGGACAACGUUGGCCAUUUGAUCUACAAGACAUAUUGUAAAUAUUUUAGACUAAGUUCAUAAUAAUUAAGUUCAUCUAUUUAAUGAACUCCCACUUAGAUAGACAUCCCUCCAGUCAUCUAAGUAUAACAUGAUCCGAGUUAACUAGGCCCUGUCCGAUCAUCACGUGAGACGGACUAGCCAACAUCGGUGAACAUCUUCAUGUUGAUCGUAUCUUCUAUACGACUCAUGCUCGACCCUUCGGUCUUCUGUGUUCCGAGGCCAUGUCUGUACAUGCUAGGCUCGUCAAGUCAACCUAAGUGUUUGCAUGUGUAAAUCUGUCUUACACUCGUUGUAUGUGAAUGUUGAAUCUAUCACACCCGAUCAUCACGUGGUGCUCCGAAACAACGAACUGUCGCAACGGCGCACAGUUAGGGGGAACACUUUCUUGAAAUUAUUAUGAGGGAUCAUCUUAUUUACUACCGUCGUUCUAAGUAAACAAGAUACAAAAACAUGAUAAACAUCACAUGCAAUCAAAUAAUAAUAGUGACAUGAUAUGGCCAAUAUCACAUAGCUCCUUUGAUCUCCAUCUUGGGGCUCCAUGAUCAUCUUGUCACCGGCAUGACACCAUGAUCUCCAUCAUCAUGAUCUCCAUCAUCGUGUCUCCAUGAAGUUGCUCGCCAACUAUUACUUCUACUACUAUGGCUAACACGUUUAGCAAUAAAGUAAAGUAAUUUACAUGGCGUUUCUCAAUGACACGCAGGUCAUACAAAAAAUAAAGACAACUCCUAUGGCUCCUGCCGGUUGUCAUACUCAUCGACAUGCAAGUCGUGAUUCCUAUUACAAUAGCAUGAACAUCUCAUACAUCACAUAUAUAUCAUUCAUCAUUCAUCACAACUUUGGCCAUAUCACAUCACAAAACACUUGCUGCAAAAACAAGUUAGACGUCCUCUAAUUGUUGUUGCAAGUUUUACGUGGCUACAUACCCUUGUAGAUCACGAGCGGAAGCGUUCAAGAGAACGGGGUUGAUGGAGUCGUACUCGUCGUUAUCCAAAUCACCGAAGAUCCUAGCGCCGAACGGACGGCACCUCCGCGUUCAACACACGUACGGUCAGCGUGACGUCUCCUCCUUCUUGAUCCAGCAAGGGGGAAGGAGAGGUUGAUGAAGAUCCAGCAGCACGACGGCGUGGUGGUGGAUGCAGCAGUCACCGCAGCAGGGCUUCGCCGUUCUUCUGCGAGAGGGAGAGGUGUAGCAGGGGAGAGGGAGGCGCCAAGAGUCAAGGGUGCGGCUGCCCCUCCCUCCCCCCCUUUAUAUAGGCUCCCCAAGGGGGGGCGCCGACCCUAGGAGAUGGGAUCUCCUAGGGGGGGCGGCCAAGGGUGGAGUGGCCCCCAAGGCAAGUGGGGCGCCCCCCACCCUAGGGUUUCCAACCCUAGGCGCAGGGGGUGGGCCAAGGGGGGCGCACCAUCCCACUAUGGGCUGGUUCCCGUCCCCACUUCAGCCCAUGGGUCCCUCCAGGAUGGGUGGUCCCACCCGGUGGACCCCCGGGACCCAUCCGGUGGUCCCGGUACAAUACCGGUGACCCCCGAAACUCUCCCGAUGGCCGAAACUGCACUUCCUAUAUAUAAUUCUUCACCUCCGGACCAUUCCGGAACUCCUCGUGACGUCCGGGAUCUCAUCCUGGACUCCGAACAACUUUCGGGUUACUGCAUAUUCAUAUCUCUACAACCCUAGCGUCACCGAACCUUAAGUGUGUAGACCCUACGGGUUCGGGAGACAUGUAGACAUGACCGAGAUGGCUCUCCGGUCAAUAACCAACAGCGGGAUCUGGAUACCCAUGUUGGCUCCCACAUGAUCCUUGAUGAUCUCAUCGGAUGAACCACGAUGUCGAGGAUUCAAGCAACCCCGUAUACAAUUCCCUUUGUCAAUCGGUACGUUACUUGCCUGAGAUUCUAUCGUCGGUAUCCCAAUACCUCGUUCAAUCUCGUUACCGGCAAGUCACUUUACUCGUACCGUAAUGCAUGAUCCCGUGACCAGACACUUGGUCACUUUGAGCUCAUUAUGAUGAUGCAUUACCGAGUGGGCCCAGAGAUACCUCUCUGUCAUACGGAGUGACAAAUAACAGUCUUGAUCCGUGUCAACCCAACAGAUACUUUCGAAGAUACCCGUAGUAUACCUUUAUAGUCACCCAGUUACGUUGUGACGUUUGGUACACCCAAAGCACUCCUACGGUAUCCGGGAGUUACACGAUCUCAUGGUCUAAGGAAAAGAUACUUGACAUUGGAAAAACUCUAGCAAACAAACUAUACGAUCUUGUGCUAUGUUUAGGAUUGGGUCUUGUCCAUCACAUCAUUCUCCUAAUGAUGUGAUCUCGUUAUCAAUGACAUCCAAUGUCCAUAGUCAGGAAACCAUGACUAUCUGUUGAUUAACGAGCUAGUCAACUAGAGGCUUACUAGGGACAUGUUGGUGUCUAUGUAUUCAUACAUGUAUUACGAUUUCCGGAUAACACAAUUAUAGCAUGAAUAAAAGACAACUAUCAUGAACAAGGAAAUAUAAUAAUAAUCCUUUUAUUAUUGCCUCUAGGGCAUAUUUCCAAUAGGGCCACCUAUCCCGGAGGCCCCAUGGGCUGAAGUGGGAGGGGAACCAGCCCCUAGUGGGCUGGUGCGCCCCCCUUGGGCCUCCCCCUGCGCCUAGGGUUGGAAACCCUAGGGAUGGGAGGCGCCACCCUUGCCUUGGGGGGCAAGGCACCCCUUGGCCGUCGCCCCCCUAGGAGAUUGGAUCUCCUAGGGCCGGCGCCCCCCCUAGGCACCCUAUAUAUAGUGGGGGGAGGGAGGGCAGCUGCACCCAAGCCCUUGGCUUCUCCCUCUCCCUCCCGUGACACUCCUUCAUCUCCCUGCGCUUGGCGAAGCCCUACCGAGAUCACCGUUGCUUCCACCACCACGCCGUCGUGCUGCUGGAUCUUCAUCAACCUCUCCUUCCCCCUUGCUGGAUCAAGUUGGAGGAGACGUCUUCCCAACCGUACAUGUGUUGAACGCGGAGGUGUCGUCCGUUCGGCACUUGGUCAUCGGUGAUUUGGAUCACGUCGAGUAUGACUCCAUCAACCCCGUUCUCUUGAACGCUUCCGUGCGUGAUCUACAAGGGUAUGUAGAUGCACUCCUCUCCCCCUCGUAGCUAGAUGACUCCAUAGAUUUAUCUUAGUGAUGCGUAGAAAAUUUUAAAAUUCUGCUACGUUCCCCAAUAGUGGCAUCAGGAGCUAGGUCUAUGCGUAGUUACCAUGCACGAGUAGAACACAAAGCAGUUGCGGGCGUCGAUAUUGUCAAUUUGCUUGCCGUUACUAGUCUUAUCUUGAUUCGGCGGCAUCGUGGGAUGAAGCGGCCCGGACCGACCUUACACGUACGCUUACGUGAGACUGGUUCCACCGACUGACAUGCACUAGUUGCAUAAGGUGGCUGGCGGGUGUCUGUCUCUCCCACUUUAGUCGGAUCGGAUUCGAUGAACGGGGUCCUUAUGAAGGGUAAAUAGAAAUUGGCAAUUCACGUUGUGGUUUUGGCGUAGGUAAGAAACGUUCUUGCUAGAAACCUAUAGCAGCCACGUAAAAACUUGCAACAAUAAUUAGAGGAUGUCUAACUUGUUUUUGCAGCAAGUGUUUUGUGAUGUGAUAUGGUCAAAGGAUGUGAUGAAUGAUAUAUGUGAUGUAUGAGAUGAUCAUGUUCUUGUAAUAGGAAUCACGACUUGCAUGUCGAUGAGUAUGACAACCGGCGGGAGCCAUAGGAGUUGUCUUUAUUUAUUUAUGACCUGCGUGUCAAUAUAAACGUCAUGUAAUUACUUUACUUUAUUGCUAAAGCGUUAGCCAUAGUAGUAGAAGUAAUAGAUGACGAGACAACUUCAAGAAGACACGAUGAUGGAGAUCAUGAUGAUGGAGAUCAUGGUGUCAUGUCGGUGACAACAAUGAUCAUGGAGCCCCGAAGAUGGAGAUCAAAAGGAGCAAAUGAUAUUGGCCAUAUCAUGUCACUAUUUGAUUGCAUGUGAUGUUUAUCAUGUUUUACAUCUUAUUUGCUUAGAACGACGGUAGCUUAAAUAAGAUGAUCCCUCGCAAUAAUUUCAAGAAAGUGUUCCCCCUAACUGUGAACCGUUGCGAACGUUCGUUGUUUCGAAGCACCACGUGAUGAUCGGGUGUGAUAGAUUCUAACGUUCGAAUACAAUGGGUGUAAGCCAGAUUAACACACGCAAUACACUUAGGUUGACUUGACGAGCCUAGCAUGUACAGACAUGGCCUCGGAACACGGAAGACCGAAAGGUCGAGCAUGAGUCGUAUAGAAGAUACGAUCAACAUGAAGAUGUUCACCGAUGUUGGCUAGUCCGUCUCACGUGAUGAUCGGACACGGUCUAGUUAUCUCGGAUCAUGUUUCACUUAGAUGACUGGAGGGAUGUCUAUCUGAGUGGGAGUUCAUUGAUUAAUUUGAUUAGAUGAACUUAAUUAUCAUGAACUUAGUCUAAAAUCUUUACAAUAUGUCUUGUAGAUCAAAUGGCCCACGUUGUCCUCGACUUCAACGCGUUCCUAGAGAAAACCAAGCUGAAAGACGAUGGCAAUAACUAUACGGACUAGGUCCGGAACCUGAGGAUCAUCCUCAUAGCUGCCAAGAAAGAUUAUGUCCUAGAAGCACCGCUAGGUGACGCACCUGUCCCAGAGAACCAAGACGUUAUGAACGUUUGGCAGUCACGUGCUAAUGAUUACUCUCUCGUUCAGUGCGGCAUGCUUUACAGCUUAGAACCGGGGCUCCAAAAGCGUUUUGAGAGACACGGAGCAUAUGAGAUGUUCGAAGAGCUGAAAAUGGUUUUUCAAGCUCAUGCCCGGGUCGAGAGAUAUGAAGUCUCCGACAAGUUCUUUAGCUGUAAGAUGGAGGAAAAUAGUUCUAUCAGUGAGCACAUACUCAAAAUGUCUGGGUUGCAUAACCGCUUGACUUAGCUGGGAGUUAAUCUCCCGGAUGAAGCGGUCAUUGAUAGAAUCCUUCAGUCGCUUCCACCAAGCUACAAGAGCUUUGUGAUGAACUUCAAUAUGCAGGGGAUGGAAAAGACCAUUCCUGAGGUAUAUUCAAUGCUGAAAUCAGCAGAGGUGGAAAUCAAAAAGGAACAUCAAGUGUUGAUGGUGAAUAAAACCACUAAGUUCAAGAAAGGCAAGGGUAAGAAGAACUUCAAGAAGGACGGCAAGGGAGUUGCCACGCCCGGUAAGCAAGCUGCCGGGAAGAAGCCAAAGAAUGGACCCAAGCCCGAAACUGAGUGUUUUUAUUGCAAGGGAAGUGGUCACUGGAAGCGGAAGUGCCCCAAAUACUUAGCGGACAAGAAGGCCGGCAACACUAAAGGUAUAUGUGAUAUACAUGUAAUUGAUGUGUACCUUACCAGUACUCGUAGUAGCUCCUGAGUAUUUGAUACCGGUGCGGUUACUCACAUUUGUAACUCAAAGCAGGAGCUGCGGAAUAAGUGGAGACUGGCGAAGGACGAGGUGAUGAUGCACGUCGGGAAUGGUUCCAAGGUCGAUGUGAUCACCGUCGGCACGCUUCCUCUACAUUUACCUACGGGAUUAGUUUUAAACCUCAAUAAUUGUUAUUUAGUGCCAGCUUUGAGCAUGAACAUUGUAUCAGGAUCUCGUUUAAUUCGAGAUGGCUACUCAUUUAAAUCCAAGAAUAAUGGUUGUUCUAUUUAUAUGAGAGAUAUGUUUUAUGGUCAUGCUCCGAUGGUGAAUGGUUUAUUCUUAAUGAAUCUCGAGCGUAACGCUACACAUAUUCAUAGUGUGAAUACUAAAAGAUGUAAGGUUGAUAAUGAUAGUCCCACAUACGUGUGGCACUGUCGCCUUGGUCACAUAGGUGUCAAACGCAUGAAGAAGCUCCAUGCAGAUGGACUUUUAGAGUCUCUUGAUUACGAAUCAUUUGACACGUGCGAACCAUGCCUCAUGGGUAAAAUGACCAAGACUCCGUUCUCAGGAACAAUGGAGCGAGCAACCAACUUAUUGGAAAUCAUACAUACUGAUGUGUGCGGUCCAAUGAGUGUUGAGGCUCGCGGUGGCUAUCGUUAUGUUCUCACCCUCACUGAUGACUUGAGUAGAUGUGGGUAUGUCUACUUAAUGAAACACAAGUCUGAGACCUUUGAAAAGUUCAAGGAAUUUCAGAGUGAGGUUGAGAAUCAACGUGACAAGAAAAUCAAGUUCUUGCGAUCAGAUCGUGGGUGAGAAUACUUGAGUCACGAAUUUGGCACACACUUAAGAAAAUAUGGAAUAGUUUCACAACUCACGCCGCCUGGAACACCUCAGCGUAAUGGUGUGUCCGAACAUCGUAAUCGCACUCUAUUAGAUAUGGUGCGAUCUAUGAUGUCUCUUGCCGAUUUACCGCUUUCUUUUUGGGGCUAUUCUUUAGAGACUGCCGCAUUCAUUUAAAUAGGGCUCCGUCGAAAUCCGUUGAGACGACACCGUAUGAAUCAUGGUUUGGGAAGAAACCUAAGCUGUCGUUUCUAAAAGUUUGGGGAUGCGAUGCUUAUGUCAAGAAACUUCAACCUGAAAAGCUCAAACCCAAGUCGGAAAAAUGCGUCUUCAUAUGAUACCCUAAAGAAACUAUUGGGUAUACCUUCUACCUCAGAUCCGAAGGCAAGAUCUUUGUUGCCAAGAAUGGAUCCUUUCUAGAGAAGGAGUUUCUCUCGAAAGAAGUGGGAGGAAAGUAGAACUUUAUGAAGUAUUACCUCUUGAACCGGAAAAUGGCGCAACUCAAGAAAAUGUUCCUGAGGUGCCUGCACCGACUAGAGAGGAAGUUAAUGAUAAUGAUCAAGAUACUUCUGAUCAAGCUCCUACUGAAAUUCGAAGGUCCACAAGGACACGUUCCGCACCAGAGUGGUACGGCAACCCUGUCUUGGAAAUCAUGUUGUUAGACAACGGUGAACCUUCGAACUAUGAAGAAGCGAUGGCGGGCCCGGAUUCCGACAAAUGGCUGGAAGCCGAGUUAGGAUCCAUGUAUGAAAACGAAGUAUGGACUUUGACUGACUUGCCCGUUGAUCGGUGAGCCAUAGAAAAUAAAUGGAUCUUUAAGAAGAAGACAGACGCGGAUGGUAAUGUGACCAUCCAUAAAGCUCGGCUUGUCGCUAAGGGUUAUCGACAAGUUCAAGGGGUUGACUACGAUGAGACUUUCUCACCCGUAGCGAAGCUGAAGUCCGUCCGAAUCAUGUUAGCAGUUGCCGCAUUCUAUGAUUAUGAGAUAUGGCAAAUGGACGUCAAAACGGCUUUCCUUAAUGGUUUCCUUAAGGAAGAAUUGUAUAUGAUGCAGCCGGAAGGUUUUGUCGAUCCUAAGAAUGCUGACAAGGUGUGCAAGCUCCAAAGCUCGAUUUAUGGGCUGGUGCAAGCAUCUCGGAGUUGGAACAUUCGUUUUGAUGAGAUGAUCAAAGCGUUUGGGUUUACGCAGACUUAUGGAGAAGCCUGCAUUUACAAGAAAGUGAGUGGGAGCUCUGUAGCAUUUCUCAUAUUGUAUGUGGAUGACAUACUGUUGAUGGGAAAUGAUAUAGAAUUCUUGGAAAGCAUAAAGGCCUACUUGAACAAGUGUUUUUCAAUGAAGGACCUUGGAGAAGCUGCUUAUAUAUUAGGCAUCAAGAUCUAUAGAGAUAGAUCGAGAUGUCUCAUUGGUCUUUCACAGAGUACGUACCUUGACAAGAUAUUGAAGAAGUUCAAAGUGGAUCAGUCAAAGAAGGGAUUCUUGCCUGUAUUGCAAGGUACGAGAUUGAGCACGGCUCAAUGCCCGACCACGGCAGAAGAUAGAGAAAAGAUGAGUGUCGUCCCCUAUGCCUCGGCCAUAGGGUCUAUCAUGUAUGCUAUGCUGUGUACCAGACCUGAUGUAAACCUUGUCGUAAGUUUGGUAGGAAGGUACCGAAGUAAUCCUGGCAUGGAACACUGGACAUCGGUCAAGAAUAUCCUGAAGUACCUAAAAAGGACUAAGGACAUGUUUCUCGUGUAUGGAGGUGACGAAGAGCUCGUCGUAAAGGGUUACGUCGAUGCUAGCUUCGACACAGAUCUGGAUGACUCUAAGUCACAAACCAGAUACGUGUAUAUUUUGAAUGGUGGGGCAGUAAGCUGGUGCAGUUGCAAGCAAAGCGUUGUGGCGGGAUCUACAUGUGAAGCGGAGUACAUGGCAGCCUCGGAGGCAGCACAAGAAGCAGUCUGGUUGAAGGACUUCAUUACCGACCUAGGAGUCAUACCCAAUGCGUCGGGCCCGAUGACUCUCUUCUGUGACAACACUGGAGCUAUUGCCCUUGCCAAGGAGCCCAGGUUUCACAGGAAGACCAGGCAUAUCAAGCGUCGCUUCAACUCCAUUCGUGAAAGUGUUCAAAAUGGAGACAUAGAGAUUUGUAAAGUACAUACGGACCUGAAUGUGGCAGAUCCGUUGACUAAACCUCUCCCUAGAGCAAAACAUGAUCAACACCAGAACUGCAUGGGUGUUCGAUUCAUCACAAUGUAACUAGACUAUUGACUCUAGUGCAAGUGGGAGACUGUUGGAAAUAUGCCCUAGAGGCAAUAAUAAAAUGGUUAUUAUUAUAUUUCUUUGUUCAUGAUAAUUGUCUAUUGUUCAUGCUAUAAUUGUGUUAUCCGGAAAUCGUAAUACAUGUGUGAAUACAUAGACCACAACACGUCCCUAGUGCGCCUCUAGUUGACUAGCUCGUUGAUCAAAAGAUAGUCAUGGUUUCCUGACUAUGGACAUUGGAUGUCCUUGAUAACGGGAUCACAUCAUCAGGAGAAUGAUGUGAUCGACAAGACCCAAUCCUAAGCAUAACUCAAAGAUCGUGUUGUUCGUUUGUUGUAGCUUUUCUAAAUGUCAAGUAUCAUUUCCUUAGACCAUGAGAUUGUGCAACUCCCGGAUACCGUAGGAGUGCCUUGGGUGUGCCAAACGUCACAACGUAACCGAGUGACUAUAAAGGUACAUUACAGGUAUCUCCGAAAGUGUCUGUUGGGUUGGCACGAAUCGAGACUGGGAUUUGUCACUCCGUAUGACGGAGAGGUAUCUCUGGGCCCACUCGGUAAUGCAUCAUCAUAAUGAGCUCAAUGUGACCAAGUGGUUGAUCACGGGAUCAUGCAUUACGGCACGAGUAAAGUGACUUGCCGAUAACGAGAUUGAACUAGGUAUUGGGAUACCGACGAUCGAGUCUCGGGCAAGUAACGUACCGAUUGACAAAGGGAAUUGUAUACGGAUUGAUUGAAUCCUCGACAUCGUGGUUCAUCCGAUGAGAUCAUCGUGGAGCAUGUGGGAGCCAACAUGGGUAUUUAGAUCCCGCUGUUGGUUAUUGACCGGAGAGGCGUCUCGGUCAUGUCUGCAUGUCUCCCGAACCCGUAGGGUCUACACACUUAAGGUUCGGUGACGCUAGGGUUGUUGAGAUAUUAGCAUACGGUAACCCGAAAGUUGUUCGGAGUCCCGGAUGAGAUCCCGGACGUCAUGAGGAGUUCCGGAAUGGUCCGGAGGUGAAGAUUUAUAUAUAUGAAGUCAAGUUUCGGCCAUCGGGAAAGUUUUGGGGGUAAUCGGUAUUGUACCGGGACUGCCGGAAGGGUCCCGGGGGUCCACCGGGUGGGGCCACCUAUCCCGGAGGGCCUCAUGGGCUGAAGUGGGAGGGGAACCAGCCCCUAGUGGGCUGGUGCACCCCCCUUGGGCCUCCCCCUACGCCUAGGGUUGGAAACCCUAGGGGUGGGGGGCGCCACCGUUGCCUUGGGGCAAGGCACCCCUUGGCCGCCGCCCCCCCUAGGAGAUUGGAUCUCCUAGGGCCGGCGCCCCCCUAGGCACCCUAUAUAUAGUGGGAGGGAGGGAGGGCAGCCGCACCCAAGCCCCUGGCCUCUCCCUCUCCCUCCUGUGACACUCCUCCGUCUCCCUACGCUUGGCGAAGCCCUGCCGAGAUCACCGUUGCUUCCACCACCACGCCGUCGUGCUGCUGGAUCUUCAUCAACCUCUCCUUCCCCCUUGCCGGAUCAAGUUGGAGGAGACGUCUUCCCAACCGUACAUGUGUUGAACGCGGAGGUGUCGUCCGUUCGGCACUUGGUCAUCGGUGAUUUGGAUCACGUCGAGUACGACUCCAUCAACCCCGUUCUCUUGAACGCUUCUGUGCGCGAUCUACAAGAGUAUGCAGAUGCACUCCUCUCCCCCUCGUAGCUAGAUGACUCCAUAGAUUGAUCUUGGUGAUGCGUAGAAAAUUUUAAAAUUCUGCUACGUUCCCCAACACUGCAUUCCCAGAAAAGUGCAUGGUGGCAAAAUCAACCCAGAGAUUUAGACUGAACAGAGUACAUGCGGAAAUAUUUUUCACACUGACGUUUCCACCAUUUGGGAUUGUCACCAUCAAAUUUGGGGAAAUCAGAACGAGAAAUGCGUGUAUUGGAACGACCCUGUGCUGAAUUUGGCCGGGAGUUGCCCAAAUUUUCCGGUUCAUCAGGCUCAUCAGAUAAGUCUUCAUAGGGAGAGAUUUGGGACAGGUUGGGCUCACCAUUGCCCAGGUUGAGUCUGGAUGUGCGGGGCGCACACAGAUUCGCCCCCUGCGGGUUUGGUGCAGCUUGGUGCCCGUUAGGAUGGCGUGGACCAGGACGCUAGUGAGGUGGUGCAGUCGUCAGUGGUGCCUACUCCAGGACGGCGACACGCUUCAGCACGCCAGUGAGAGAUUGCUGCAUCUCUUGAACUGCUGCGUCGAGGCCGUUGUUGGAGAUCAGUAGUCGUCCCAGCGUAGAUUCCGUGCGGUUGAGGGACGCAGUGGUGGACUGCGUGAGCGCAUCGAAGGCCUUGGCCGAGGACGACGCAUACGUGUCCACCACCGUGCGUAGUUCUUCGAGCCCCUUCGCGUUGUGAGCUCCCGCAUCUGAAACCGCCUUGCUCUGCUCGAUCGUCGCCUGCACAAGCUUUUGCAGCUCGGCCAGCGUGAGUUCCGCCGCCGCCAUGCGGGCAGACAGCGUCGGGCGACCGGGUCUCACCGUGGAAACCACUCGCAAUUUGUCCCAACCUCGCGCAGGUACACCAAGGUGUUUUGCGCGAAUUCCGAUCGGAAUCCACACCUUUUGCCAGGAAUUAGGGGUCAAAUCAGAAUAGAUCGCAGCGGAUGGGGAAAAACAUCGGGGCGGAUCAGAGAGGCUCUAGAUACCAAUUGCUGCAGUUCAGAUAGCAAUCCCUGCCAUGGCGAGGGUGUGGUUCAUAGAUCUCAGAGUUUCAUGGGGAAUUACAGAGAGAUUCAGAGGAGGAGGAAGCUAACUUGGGGAAGAAGAAGAUACAGAAUAGAGUAGUCUGUUGGUACAACUCAUCGAUGCCUCACUACUACCACACAGCAUGCCUAAAUACGCUACAAGACGGGCCGAGACAGAACAGCCCACACGCACACGGCUCCAGGCCCACUGGGUCGUGGCAUGGAUGGCGACCCCCUCGAGUGGUGAGGGUGAUCACAUUGUGGCAUUUGUUCUCACUACAAACAAAUAAUGGAAACAACAACGACUGCAUGCUCUUCUAUCCCCGAUUAUCAAUAAAGACUAUAGACCACUAUCAAGCAGGGGAGGAUUUACCUUCCCCCAAGCCCAGGCUUGGCGGUGGCAUGACACUUCGUGUGUUGUGGUUUUAUAUAGUGAUUUUGUGGGGGAAAAUGUGGCAUCCUAGCCACCUUAAUCUACGGUUUUACAUGCUUUGAGAAGUUUCUGAGUUGCCACUACCAUCAAGGAUUGUCUUGGUUUGCUAAAUUCUUGACCCUCCUUGUGGCUUGGCCUCCAAACUAUCAAGGAAUGGUAGAAUUUUACCACCAAUAGUGGGAAUCCAGCAAGGAAGUAGCUUGAGCACUCAUCAUGCUCACCCUUGCAAAAAAAUUAGAAAGUAGAGGUGGCAAUAUAUAACGAGCCGAUCAUUUUGGCAAUUAAAGUUGCCACACUAAAAGAAAAGCUGGUACUACCAUUAUGUUGAGCCCUAAAAAGUUAGGAACAUUUCUCCAAGAUAGUAGGUUAGUUUUACACAUGUUGGCCUGAUGACUUAUAAAAGUUCCAAUUAACAAAAGGAGGUAAAUAUUUUGCGUCAGUUUCAAAAAAUAAUUCCCAUGAGUAUUAUCUGAUGCUUUCUAAUCAAGGUAGUAAAACCGCUAACCAAAAGUCUUGUUUUGAAUAAUUAUUUCAUUUCGUGCGAGUUUGGAAUAGUUUGGGCUACACCCAAAAUAAAUUUACAUGUAUAUUUUUGAAACUGAUUUCAGAUACUUUUUUAGAACGAAAGGAAUUCUCAUAUUUUCUUUGAGGCAAAAAAGAAUUCUCAGAUUUUUUUUGAGACAAAAAUGAAUUCUCAGAUGCUGGAGCACCAGUGCUCUCUAGGCACCAGCGCUACUGGUGGGCUUCUUGGGCCACAGUGGACCUUGGAACUUGCGCCUAGACACUCCCGUUGAAUACGGACGCCGUCGCUAGCUUCUCCUCGUCUCGUGGGCUUUCGCGCUUACUGACACGCCUCCCUUCGCCGACCCCGAGGGCAUGCAAGGCGAGCAGUUCUCUACUGGCUUCUCUCUGAACCCCCUCCGUCUGUUGACCAAUCUCAUCUUCUCCAGUCUCCGUCUUCCAUCUACAGAUCCUGCUCCUCUAACUACUCCCCUAUGUUCUUGAACAGUCCGGAUCCAAAUGGUAAAUCACCCAGAUUACUGCUCGCGUACACUUCAUCCAAUCAGUUCGUCUCUUAGCUUACUGACACGACUUAAAUUAAGCUAACCCUAGAUCUCAUGUCCUGCAACCGUGCGAUCGACCGAUGACCGGUCAUGGUUGGACUUGGGCGGUGGAUCGUGGACGGCGAUCGAGCGUGCGCGCGCUCCGGCCGGCGCAGAGGGCCGGGAAGGGCGGGGCAUUCCCUGACGGCGUCGGCAGGCAUGCACCAACCCGAGAAGAGAAGCCCUUUCCCGGCCCGGACCCUGGUGCGAUGUCCGAGCUUUGGGAGACUGCGCGCCAGGCCAUGCGGUUACUGUUGCAUGUGCUGCCAUUCCCAUGCACGCACGCACUGACGCCGGUGCGAGUGACUGACGAGCACGCACACGGCGCAGGUGACUUUCAUUUGGAUGGUGGUGGUGCAUGGGGGGUCGAGGCGAAAGGAUCCCUGCCGCCUCUGCGCGCCUGCGGCCGCACCUGCAUGCAUGCGUAAAUUUUCGUGCGUACUGCGAGUAAAGGCAUGGCUGCAGAGCCGGCCGGCCAGGUAGCCCCUACGUACUGCGGCUGCGCAGAAAGCUCGACCUAACCUACCCAGGCUAGCUAGUACUCCCUUCUUUCCGAUUUAUAGGGCUCAAUUCAAAAAUCUCACCAACCAAGGUAGAUGGUGAGUGGUGGAAUACUUUUUGUAGUUUGCAAAAGCAUCCAAUUAAUGCUCUUGUUUCCUCAAAAGAUUAUGUUUACCAAUGCAUUAAUUGCAAUGCAUGCAUGCAUAAAAUACAUGCAUUGAUCAAUUUUCUUUUAAUACUUGCAUGCAAUGAUUUAAUGCAUCUUGAAAUAUGAACUUGUGAUGGGGAACAACCAAUUGAGCCUUAUAAAAUGAAAAAACUAAAAUUUUGAGAUAAGCCUUAUAAACUGGAAAGGAGGGAGUAGUACUACAUGGAGCCUGGACGCGUGCGUGCGUGCGUGCGUUUUCACUCGCCAUCGCCGGCGUCUUCCUUCGCCUCCGACUCGCCGUAGCAGCCUAGCUAGGCUAGGGGGCUACGUAUAGCACAGCGACGUAGGCUCGUAAUGAGAUGGUGAUUGCACUGCAUGCAUGGGUGCCGCUGCCAUCUGGGAUCUCGCGUUCACUCUUUUUCUAUUGCUAUAUUACGUGUACCGGCGUGCACGGGUAGGGGUAGAUGCAUUUUUAAAAUUUUAGGAUCGGGAUUUUUGAAACGGAAUUGCUAAAUCUCAGUCGAUUGAGAUUUAGUGAAAUCUUAGUCGAUGCCAUAUGCGUUAGAUCUUCCGUAGAGAUUCGUGUAAACUUUUUCUUUUUAUAUGUUCAAUCAUUUCGUUAAGUCUUAGUCGACUAUGAUCUAUCCACACCCUUUCGGAAAACCAGCGAUAAUUGACAAAAUUAGCCCCGCAUUAAUUAGAAGUCCAUUCAGAAAUGAAACUUUGACUACAUCUAACACAUUUGCUUGCUCAAACACUAGCUCAGUACUUUUGGUGCUGAGCUUGGCAAUGUAAGUACUGCUCUAGGCCCUUCCUCGGCAUCGGCACAUAGUACACCCUGCUCUUGUCCCGCAGCUAGCUCUGGGCUCUGGCCAUUGCCAACUCUGAUCGACCGAUACUUCGCGGAGCAGCAAAAGCUCGACAGGUUUCGCUGAUUCCUAGGGCGCUCGCGCGGGCAUGGGCAUCGAUCGAUCCGUUGCAUGUUUCCGGUGUGCGCAUCUCGCACAAACUAAACUAAUCUAACGAGCACGUACGUAAUUCCGCUAAAAGUUAACGAGGUGUUCUGUGGGCUGCAAGCAACGGGUGGAUUGCCUUGCAAUUCUUGUUAAGCCUCCUCGAGCUCUGGCGCCGAUGCCUUCCUCGAUAACAAAGCAAGAUUGACCACAUCCCGUACGUACAGCCGAUGGGAAUUUGAAUAAUUUAAUCCACUGUUCAGAAGAUCGAUCUGCAUGAGACUAAAGUUACUGGGAGUGUCAGACUAAAAACAACUGGUGAAAGUUCAGCAAUUUUCUUUGGAGGGGAGCUUCAGCAUCUGUCGGUGGUUGUUUGGACUUUGGAUGCGUGGUUCCUAGUGGUGUUCCCUGGCACUUUUUGUUUACGUGGAGGCCCAUUUCAGAAUGAGCUGUUUCCGUCAGUGGUUAGUCCAAUCCUACCGACAUGCUCUGACUUUAUUCAAGCUGAUCCAUAUCACUGCCACGGAGUUAAGAGCACAUAGUAUGUUAGACAACAUUCAAAUUUUGCUCAGUAUCUGUUCCAGCGGGAAACAUGACCGUUUGAGUGGCUUGCUCCCGCUGGUACUGAAAACGUUUACUGCGUUGCCUCCCCGGAAUGCUCAAGGUAGCAUCUUCAUUCAACAUUGAACCUCAACUGAACCUUUCUCUUUUGUGCUUUUCAUGAUUGCGAUCUUCCACGAUGGGUGUUUGGUUUCAUCUGUGUUACUGUGAUGUUGGUACUUCCUCCGUUCCAAAAUAUAGCGCUUCCUCUAUUCCCGUGCUUCAACUUUGACCAUAAAUUUAACCAACCAGACCGACUGCGACGGGAGCAAAAGUUAUGUCAGCGAAUUCGUAUUCAAAAGAAGUUUUCAAUUAUAUAAUUUUUUUCUCCCACCGCAGUCGGUCUCGUUGGUUAAAUUUAUGGUCAAAGUUGGACCUCAGGAAGCGUGGGCGCACUAUAUUUUGAAAUGGAGGGAGUACUUUAUUAGAGCAUCUCCAACAGGCGCCAAAAAAGAGCUCCGCGCACUAAAAAUUCAUUUUUCGGGCGCCCAACAGCUUCAGCAGAUGCUGUAGCGCUAAAAAGUUUUGGGCGCGCGCUGAAAAACGCUAUCGCGCGCAGCAUAUUUUGGGCUCUGGAUUGGGCGCGCUUCAUAAUUUGCACUGUCUUCUUUUUGGGCGCGCGUCUUUGGACGUCUGCUAAAUCAAUGUUGGUCCCAUCGCACUAAAAGUGCUAUAGUGGCGCACUAUAAGUUUUAUUGGGCGCGAGAUUUUUGUGCGGCCGUUGGAGAUGCUCUUAUAGGCUAGCUAUAAACUUUGGUGAUAGCAGGUUUUUGCCCUGUAGAUUUGAUUUCGAUAUAGUCAUUUGCAGCAGUUUCCUGCAACCGCCCCAACUCGCUUUCCUCGCUCUUUCUCCCCCUUUGUUCAUACGGUUCCACUCCCUUCGUUCACAAAUACAAGAUGUCUAACUUUUUUGUAAAUUGAAUGUAUAUAUACAUGUUUAAUGUGAUUAUUAGCCCAUUUCAGUUUGUAUGUUCAUAUUGAAAUAUCCAAAACAUCUUUUAUUCAUGAACAGAGGGAGUAGUUUGGAACUGAUGUAUUUCUAUUAUGGAAAUUAAUGGAAGGCGGUAAUGCCCGGUUUGAAGAUAAAAGUAAACCUUUAUCUCCCCGAAAGAAACACACAUUACAAACCAUGGGUUUGGAGUUUCUUUUCCUUUCAAAAAAUAAACAAACAGAGAUAGCAUGAGUGUCAGCCCUUUGCAUUUCCAACAAGGAGCGAUCGUCGUUGCAUGCUUCACGGUAUACACAUAGAGCAGUUGGUCCCCACUCAGGCACGCAAAAGGCACCAUGAGAUGCAGUCAGCGCAGCUUCAAGGUGCUUCCCUACACCUCCGUGGUAGGGGUCUCACUAUCGCCGUUAGACCGACGGUGUGCAUCCUUGCACCGGACUGAUAUGCCCAACACAUAUUUUUGGUGGAAAAGGGAAUUUAUUGAUUGAAAAGGUUAUACACCUGACGUUCGCUCAUCUCGUCGUGGGCGCGACGCAGCGAGGGCCAUCAGAUAUCGUGCACGAAUCUUUAUGGGGACCGUGUGACAAACAUAGUGCUCUAUCAUUCGCUCCCUUGAAUUUCACCGCGUGAACACUCUUUCUGUUCCCCUCUCAGCAAACUUUCGUCACCACAUGUCUGUCCAUUUUUCUCCCAAAUAAUGUGGUGAGGCAGCGAAUGAACAACAACGCUCUCCAGUCCCACACAGGAGCUCCGAUCCCACGUCUCUUCCGUGAAUAAUAUUUGAGUGCAUUGCUACAUUAAGAAUGGUUUGAAGCAAUCAACCGCCAUCACAGAGAUUAAUGGAGAUAAUGGAUCACUAUGUCUAACUCCUCUUUUACAUGAAAUUGCUUUCCGGGUACUCCAUUAAGAAAAACCGAGGAAAACCCGAGUUGUACAUCAUCUUAAUCCAAUUAGUCCAUUUAUUUCCAAAGCCCCUACCAUAUAGGAUUUACAAGAUGAACUCAUGUUCUAUCGUGUCAAAUGCCUUUUCAAAGUCUAACUUGAGAAUCACAAUUUGUUUUUUGGGGUUGUUGCCAGUGAUGAAUGUACUCAAAAGCCUAGUCUAAGCAAUCCUGAAUGGAUUCUGUAUUUAAGAAGCCAUAUUGAUUAACAUUAACUAAUCCAAGGAUCACUUCAUGCUCCGUAUUUGAUAAUAUAUUUUUGAUAAUCUUGGCAUUAUAGUUAAGGAGAUAGAUAUGGUUCCUCCAUAUCCCUGGGAACUACCGUUCUACUCACACAUAAAGACAAUAGAAAUCAUCAUGUUGUUCAUGGCAAUAACAUAUGAAUGAUUAUUGUAACAGACAUAUAAAUCCACACUAGGGUUCUGUAUUACAAUGAGAUGAAUGGAGGGGUCGAUGUCAAGGUCGUAGAUGAUGAUGGUGGGAUGGUGGUGACGAUGAUCAAAGGCUCCUUGAUCGACCUGGUGGCAUGGAGGAGCCCUUCUACCAAUUCCCCUCUAGAUCCCUUCCAGAGGUGAGCUUUUUGCUUAUGUUUUGUGGUUCUGGCCUCUUUGUUCAUCGUCUAUGAAAUCCGAUCACACUGACAUGAAAUAUUUAACUAGGAGGAGGCAACACCACACAGUAUGAGGGCCAAAAUGAGCAAGCGAUGCUCAUACCUCACAUUGUCUUUCUCUCUUGAAGGCCAGGCGUGACUGGUUUUCUUCCCACGUGAUCUUCUAUUUGUUUGGAAGGUUAUUAAGCUUCUAAUUAGCUUGUUUUUCACCCGAAAAUAGAUGCUUUCUCAGCAAUGAUCAAAAUCUCCUUCUCCUUUACGAACUUGCAAAAUUUGGCAAAAGGCGUGAUAAAAUUAUCAAAAUCCUAUGACUAUAAUGCAAGAAUCAGGGGAGUGGUGUUUGUGUAAAAAGUGAUGCAAAACAACAUGACGAAUCCAUUAAACACUUAUUUUCUUAGUGAAAGUUUGGUCGUGCAGUGUGGGCCAUAGUUCAAGUAGUUUAAAACCUUUACCCCCACUAUUGUGCGGAUAACAUGUUAGGCAAUUGGUUACAGGGUAUUGACAAACAAUUUUACGCACACAUUCUUGUGGGGAUGGCAACCUUGUGUUGUGCUCUGUGUCAUAUGAAAGGAUACCGUAGAAGAAGUAUAUACAAACGCACGUGUAAAAAAUUAUAGUUUGCGUAGGUUUACCAAUCUCUGUCUAUUAUAUUUUAGGGUGGAAAAGAGUGCUCCAUAUCCAUAUAUGUUCUUGGAGGGGCCGUGAGAUCCCUUGUAACUAUAUAGAGUAGUUUCUCUGGCCGUGCAAAUGGAAUGAAAAUUUGCAAGAAAAUACAAUUCCAUUUUCCCACUAAAAAUGUAUUUGUGCUAAGUAUUUGAACGGUACGACAAUUAUAUACACAUAAUGUUCACAAUGUUAAUUCUCUUGAUUAUAACAAAACAAUAGUAUGCAAAAUAAUAAAUUAAAUGUUGUAUAUAAGUAAGAAAAUAUGUUGUUCACAAUAAAAAAGUUGUGCAAGCAAUGAAAUUAGCAUAACAUGUGAGAUGUUUUAACCUGUUUAGGCUCACAAGAACGUUGGUCCCUAACUAAUUUUUUAACAAUAGGAGAUCAUUUCGUGCCACACGCCUUGGUAGUGAGAUAGGCGUCACAGUAUGAGACAUAGAAAACUCAAGAGGGGCUUAUUAGUGGUAUCUUCGGGAAGUGAUCGCGAAUGGGAGAAAAUUCAUUAUAGUCACACUCAAAUGUACAAUUGGAUAAAAUAAACCUCAACACCGUGCAAGAGAAGGAAACCAUGAACACAAAUGGUUGUCUCACAUGGGCAUUGGGGAAUACAUCUCGAUUCGACCCUCCACAAGUGGCACACUUGUAGUUGAAGUCAUAUCAUCACAUGGGGAGGCACGUCGCACGACAAUAUGCAACCCGGGACCUUCGUGGCAAAUAGUUCAAGAUACUAUUCCGUCACGAUAUGCAUUACCUUCACAAGGAAAUAUGCAACCUCCUUGUACACCCCAAAUCAAAUUCUGACGUGAUAUGCAUUACCUUCAUUCAGGAACGAGGUCCCAGCCCAUCAUCAUACCUUCCUUCUAGUUCAACUUGCACACUCCGGUCCAUCCAAUUCAGUAAGUUCUUUACUCUUUCGACAACCUCAUCAUAACUAGGACUAGUCACAAAUACCAUGACUUUCUCCUUGUUGUCAAGAAUGUCAACAUUGUUACUCAAAAAUACUACUUGCCCAUAUAAUCAACAUCAACAAUUCUCGCCAUGUAAAAAACAUUGGCAAGAAGCGUAAUGCAUCAAUGACAACUAUGCUACUUAAUAUUUAAAGAAGUGUAUAGAACCAACCCAUGCCUUGACGGGAGAAUACGUUACGUGAUAGACGACGACUUGUUGUGCACCAUGCAAAAAAAAAACACUAGAAACCAUAUAUAACAUAGAUAACAACGAUACCUUUGUUUUAAGGGAUACCACUAGUACCCAAUAUGUCAAUAAAUUAAAAAUAAAAUUAAUAUUAUUGAUCAAGAAAAAACAUAGACAAGUUCGACAGUGAACAGUAUAGUACCUGGUAUAAAUUGGGCUUUAAAUUAGGUCCAUCAUUGUUAUUGAUAACAAAUUUACCGUUUUUGUCUUUUGACCUAUAUAUUUCAAAUUUGGAUUGGACUAGAUAUUUUUGGCACCAUAGACUUAUAUUGUGUCCAUGUGCUAAUUCAUUUUAAACAAUUGUUUAAACUUUUAAAAGCCCAAGCGAAGCUGGGUGCAUCUUUCCUUUUAUUUUUUGAGAGAGAGAGAGAGGGGGUGCAUCUUUCCUGGGUCAUGACAAUUUACAAGGUCAUCUCAAAGUGUCUGCCUAUCUAUGUUGCCGACUGUUUUUCUUCUCUUUAUUCUUUUCUACUUAUUGUUCAUAUUUCGAAAACUUCUAAUAUAUAUUUCAGAAACUAAUUUACUUCAAAAAAAUUAAACUUCACCACACAUUAAGAAUUGUUCAUGUAGUGUAAAAAUUUGUUCGCAUAGUUGGUAAAAACAAAUGUUCAUCGUAUUCUAAAGAAACAAUUCAUGCGUGUAAAAAAUGUUCAUGCCGUAUAUUUUUUUCUUGCAAGUUUCUUAUAAAAAAUGUGCCAUUCUAAAAGUGUCCACGAGUUUAAAUAAUGUCAACGUGUAUUUUAGAAAAUGUUUAUCAUGCAUUAUAAAAAUGCUCAUCACGAGUUAAAAAAAUGUGCAACACACACUCAAAAAAUGUUCAUCUCGUAAUAAUAAAAUGUUCAUCAUGACUUAAAAAAUCUUCAUCCUGUAUUUAUAAAAUGUUCAUUGCAUUAUAAUAAAUGUUUACACAUUUAAAAAAUAUUGAUGCAAUGCAAAAGUUUGUCUGCACAUGUUUUUAAAAAUGUUUAAGCCAUUCAAAAAAUUAAAGAUUAUUUCCAAAAUAUUCAACAUGUAUUUUUUUAUAAAAGCAUAUUAAAUACAAAUUCAUCGUGAGUUAAUAUUUUUGCCGUGUACGAAAAAGUGUUCACCAUGAAUUUAGAAGAUGUUCAUAUUGCAUUAAAAAUGUCAUUGUGUACUGAAAAAAUGUUCAACAUAAUUUAAUAAAAUAUUCACCAUGUGUUUCGAAAACAAGGUUUGACUUGUAUUUCAAAAAUGAUCAACUGGUGUUUAAAUAAUGUUCACCUUGAAUUAAAAAUGUCCAUAGUGCAUAUAAAAUAUGUUCAAUGUGCAUUUGAAAAAUAUUCAACAAGUAUUCAUAAAGAUAUCCAUCAUGUAUUUAUAAAAGAUUCAACAUGUAUCUGAAAAAUAUUUAACCUAUAUAUGUAAAAGGUUCAGUUUAUUUUUUGAAUAAAGUUCGCAUGUAUAUUCAAAAUGAAUAAAUUGAAAAUAAUAAUAAUGAAAAUCUGACAAACUGAACGAAACCGAAAGAAAACAAGAAUAAAAAACAAUGAAAACCAAUAGGAAAGUAGAAAAAGUACAAGAAUAAACAACAAACCCGGUAUGAAAAAACUGAAGAAAAAAGAAACAGAAAAAACCAAAAGUAAACCAACAUGAAUCGAUAGAAAAACACACAGAAAAAAUGCGGAAAGUUAUAAAAACAUUUGAUACCGUUCCAUAGAAGAAACCUUCCUAAGGCCGAGUGAUUGAGCCGGUCCACUAAGGGAAACCCCUUGAGGCGAGAUUUUAUCUUAUAUCUCGCAGUAGGCAAGAUAAAGCUUUUGCUCGAUAUCAACGGGUCAGUUUGGUUGCUUCCCUGGAGCAAAGGUGCCUGGCCUGGUGCUUGCCUGAGAACUGCUUGUGGUUUGUUUGGUUUGUGACCUGGAGAUCGAAUGCUAGCCUGGCCUGGGAAAGUGGAGCUCGUUGUUAGUCUAGCCGGUAAACUUGCGCGUGUGAUUUGCCUGGUCCAGGCCACCUGAAAUGGAUGCCUGGACAUGCCUCGGUGGUGCCUGGGAUGCUAACCCUGUCGUCCAAUUUAAAAAAAAAAGGAGAAGGUACAGGUGAAUAGUGACAUUGUUUAAUAUAUUUAACACUUAACAAGCAUGGCCACGAACCAAAUAAUGCUUGCCUGGUCAGGCAGAAAGCAGAGACAUCUCAGGCCCAGUCCAGGUACACAAUUUUUCCAGGCAUGACCUUCAGGACAUGAACCAAACAGCCUCAACGUCAUGCAUUUGAUACAACAUUGCCAAGCCUAACCUUUUGUUGCGUUGUCUUCAAUAGUUCAACAAUAAGUUAACAAAAUACAAUCCGGCCUAAGGCCGAAAUCACCGUUUUGACCUUUAAACACGUGUGGAACUAUUUCAAGAUCUGACCGCUGGUAGACGAACUACCGCCAAAGUGAACCACGGUAGCCCUCAGCCCACAUUUGGUCCACGGCUGCUACACGGCUGCUACAUGUCAGAAGUCUAUCUUUAACGGCUGCUACCGGGGUCUAUCGCCAUUGACCGUGUCAGUAGCCCAUUAACCCUACCACUGCCUUGUAGUAUGGUGGUAGACCAGAAGGUCAAAUCGUGAAAAGGUUUUAAAGCAAAGAAAUUUCAUGAUUAAUUUCGUUAAUAAGUUCGAAAGCCAAAACGGUGAUUUUUAGCCCGGCUCAGUUACUCUGGUGACAUAGUGUGCAACCCCUUUGUAACGUCAUUUUGUCAUGAGACGAUGUGCGCGUAGAGGAGUUGGUUCCAGACGUCGGGCACGCCGGGGAGGCACCGGUGGAUGCAGUCCGCGUAGCUGCUCGCGUCCCUCGCCUGCGCGUCCGUGAUGGGCUCCCACUGCCGCCGGUGCACCGACGGGUGCGCGUCCUUGCGCCGCUCCGACAUCGCCGUCACGUUCACCAGCCGCCGCGCCUGCUCCUCUACCGCAUGCGCGAACGCCGGGGCCGUGACGCCACGCCGCGCCUGCUCCUCUACCGCACGCGCGAACGCCGGGUCCGUGACGCCACGCUGGUAGCGGCCCCCCUCCUCCGCCGCAGCGAUCGGCUCCGUCUCGUUGUAGCACCCGUGGCUGGUGCCGCCGCCGGCGUCGUCGGCCCACUCGUCGGAGGGGAGGUGAGUCGGCGACAUGGUCAUGAAGAAGAGGCGGGUGCGUGCGCGGCCGACGUGGAACUCGAGCCAGUCGGCCCACGUCGCGAGCGCCAGCUCGAAAGUGCGCACGCCGUCGACCGCCUUGGUCACCCCGCAGUACUCGUCCUCUUUCGCCGCAGGUGCCUCGAACGACCCCCACCUGCAACGCAUCCACGCACGCGUCUAUGAUCGAAGGUUAACCAAGUUAGAGGCAAGUCAACGGUUCAAUGAUCAGUCCGUACUAACCGGACUUCGAUGGAGGGGCGGCGCCACCAGAGGUAGGAGUUGAAGAUGAGCACGUCGGCGUACGUCCAGUGCCGGGCGUGGUUGAGGAUGGAGGAGGUGUUGGAAAUAUGAGCAAUUUAUCAAAUGAUUUUAUUAACAAAAAUAUUAGAUAAAGCGUGACUAAUAUAGUAGAGAUAAAACAAGUCAUGCGUUCUGACAGAGAGAAGGUAAAUAGCUUCUGCAUAUAUGAAUCGUAGCCUAUCAUAUCUAAACCAGACAGUAUAGCAAGUAGCAUAUAUGAAGCAGAACCUAUCAUGUAUACCCAUUUGCAUCCUAUAGGUUUGCACCCAUAAGGACGAUCAGUUAUCUCCCAAGUUUCAUUCGCCAAGAUGGAAUCCAUCUCGCUACGAACCGCUUUCUUCUAGUACUCAGCAUCUUCAGAUGCAUAGGCCUCUGAAAUAAAACUUGGAGUGUCAUCUAUGAGGUACACAAGCAAAUCAUCACCAAAGGACUUUGCAGUCAUCUGUCUCUUGCUCUUAAUAGGAACUUCAUUGUUCUUCUUCACAGAACUUUCAAAGUGUUCCAUCGAAAUUGUAGGUUCGGUAAUUGUAACUGGUUCCUGAUUCGAUGAACUAGGCAUCUCCUGAUUAGAUGAGGUAGCCAUAUCCUUCAUGGGAAACAUAUCUUCAAAGAAAGUCGCAUCAUUCGACUCCAUGAUCGUACCGACAUGCAUGUCAGGUACCUCAGAUUUUACAACCAAGAAUCUAUAGCCAAUGCUAUGAAAAGCAUAUUUCAGGAAAACACAAUCCACAAUCUUUGGUCCAAGCUUCCGCUUCUUUGAAAUUGGAGCAUUGACUUUCGCCAAACAACCCCAUGUUCGCAGAUAAGAGAGUUUUAACCUUUUCUUCUCUUAUUCCUUGAAUGGAGUUAUCUCUUUGUUCUUUGUGGGGACCCGGUUCAGGACAUGACAUGCUGUCAAUAUCACCUCCCCCCACCAUGCCUUGGAGAGACCCGAUGUGUCUAACAUGGCGUUAACCAAAUCAGUUAGAGUACGGUUCUUUCUUUCGGCUGCCCCAUUUGACUGAGGUGAGUAGGGAGGCGUCCUCUCAUGGAUUAUACCAUGUUCCGCAUAAAAAGCAUCAAACUCAUUGGAAAAAUACUCUCCACCACGGUCGGACCUAAGCCUCUUGAUUUUCCGAUCAAGUUGGUUUUCCACUUCAGCUUUAUAAAUCUUGAAAAAGUUCAAAGCCUCACCCUUAGAUUUUAAAAGAUACACACGGCACUAUCUAGUGGAGUCAUCAAUUAACGUCAUGAAAUAUUUCUUUCCACCUUUUGUCAACACACCAUUCAUUUCACAUAGAUCUGAAUGUAUGAGCUCUAGUGGUGCAAGUUUUCUUAUUUCCGCAGUCGUGUGAGACUUACGAGGUUGCUUAGCUUGCACACAUACUUGACACUUAGAUCCCUUGACGAUGGUGAAACUAGGGGUUAAGUUCAACUUUGCUAGUCGCGACAUGCAACCAAAGUUAACAUGACAAAGACGUGAAUGCCACACAUUGGAUUUACUAUUGUUGCAAAUAUGAUUAACAACUUUAUUGCAAACGUCUGAUAAGGAUAAACGAAACAAGCCUCCUGACUCAUAACCUUUACCAACAAAGGUUCCAUACUUGGAUAUUACAAAUUUAUUCGACUCAAAGACAAGCUUGUAGCCAUCUCUAUACAGAAGAGAUCCGCUAACAAGAUUUUUAUUGACGGAGGGGACAUAAUGCACGUUCUUCAGCCGCACGAUCUUCCCCGAAGUAAACUUCAGAUUGACCGUGCCAACACCACGAACAGAAGCACUUGAACCGUUGCCCAUCAGCAUGGUUGAAGUCCCUGCGGUCUGAUAAGACGAAAACAUGGAAAUAUCACCGCAUACAUGCACAUUAGCACCCGUGUCAAUCAACCAGUCAGGAGAAUGACAUACUGAAAGAAUAGUGGGAAAUAUACUAUACCCAGCAUCCUUCAUGUCAGUGUCUCCAAUGACAACAUUAGCGGUCUUGCCGCCUUUCCCAGGAUGACGCUUGUCAUAGCGAUUAGGGCAACUAGGAGCCCAAUGAUCACGAUGCCCACACACAUGACAAGCACCUUUCUUCUUGCCAUUUUUCUUCUUGAAGUUCAUGUGUUGCACAACCUUGUUCUUCCCAUCAAACUUUGCUUUUCUAUCAAACUUGCCCUUGUUCUUGAACUUGUGGGGCUGAAAGUUCUGCUUCUGUACCACAUUGGCACUAGAUCCUCCCUCGAUACCUCGAGCACGUGUGUCCUUCGCUCUCGCCUUUUCUUCCACAUCAAGAGUGCCAAUGAGAUCCGAGACGGAAAACUUCUGCCUCUUAUGCUUCAGCAAGGUAGCAAAGUUCCUCCAUGAAGGAGGAAGCUUAGUGAUGAUACCUCCGGCAACAAACUUGUCCGGUAGCAUACAACUGAAGUGCUCAAGUUCUCUAGCAAAUGACUGUAUCUCAUGAGCUUGCUCAACCAUGGAGCGCUCUUCAGUCAUCCUGUAAAUCAGAGAAUUGAUCCAUGAUGUACAGCUCAGUGCCAGCAUCCGAGACCCCAAACUUGACCUCGAGUGCAUCCCACAUAUCUUUUCCAUUAUCAUUGACACAUAAGCAUCAAUUAUGUUCUCACCAAGAACACUCAAGAGAGCAGCCUUAAACAGAGUAUCCAUUUUCUGAAAAGCUUGUGCCUAUUGAGCAUCAAGCUCUCCUCCAGGUUUGCCGAGAGUGGCGUCAUAGCAACUCAUGGUUUGAAACCAUAAGACUGCUCUCACGCGCCACCUCUUAUAGUGGAUACCCUCAAACAUAGGAGGUCUCAUGGAAGCAGCAAAACCACUUGGGGUAAAUUGUCUAUAAUAAGGUUUUUGGAUUGUUGGAAAUAUGAGCAAUUUAUCAAAUGAUUUUAUUAACAUAAAUACUAGAUAAAGCAUGACUAAUAUAGUAGAGAUAAAACAAAUCAUGCGUUCUGAUAGAGAGAAGAUAAAUAGCUUCUGCAUAUAUGAACUGUAGCCUAUCAUAUCUAAAGCAGACAGUAUAGCAAGUAGCAUAUAUGAAGUAGAACCUAUUAUGUAUAGGACAAGGACUAGAACAAGGAACUGAGGCAGAACCUUUAAUAGGAAAGACAAGAACACGUAAGGGACAGCAGUAGCAGAAGCACUGGACUUGGGGUCGGUGUCCUCGCCUGCCAUGUCGUCGGGGAAGAAGUCGUCGGCAACCGGAUCGUCCGUGAUGAAGUAGCCAGUAGUCGCGUCGAGCGCUCCCCAAAAACCUUAUCACCCUUCUUCCGUACAGGACUCAAAAGGUGCGGUUUCAGAGGCCUACUGUCCCGACCUGCGGUGCACGCCGCAAGACGGGAUGGGGAAGAACGUAGCAACAGCGCAGUGGUCGGAACUUUGUGGCGAGAGGAAGAGGCGCGGCGAGGCAGGCGGCGGAGGAGGAGCACGCGUGGAUAUCCCUCUUGUACUCAUGCUCAUACAAGUGGGGAAAGAACCUCCCUUAUAAGAAGGUCCAACUCCCACUAAACUAGCAAUAUAAAACUAAACUUUAGUAGUAUCUCUUACCCUGCAUAAAUGGGCUAAGUGGACCUUUAGAAUUUAUUAGAAAUAUUUAAAAUAGUUAUUGGGCUGCCUAAAAUAGACUAAAUUCCCGCAGGAGACGUCCACGGUGCGGUCUAUGACGCGAUGGCGCACCGGGUGGUCGGAGUUGGACUCCACCAGCAGCGGCGACCAGUAGAAGUCCACCGACGCGUUGUACUCUUGAUACCGAUCCAUCUGUGAUCGGUCGAUUAGAGUUCAUGCAUGUGACUUUGAUCGAUCGUGCCAUGUGAUUAGUAAGUUGGUGCAUACGUGCACGUUGAAGGAGACGAGGGUUCCGGCGGAGAUGAGCGUCUUGUGGAGGCCCUGGGUGGCGGUGUCGAUGAGGCAGACCAUGGACACCCACUGGUCCCGGUUCAGAGAGUCGCCCACGAACGCCAGCUGCUUCCCGCGCAGCUUCUCCAGCAGCCUCACUUUUCGUUAAACUACACGCAUCCAUGCAUUAUGCAUGGAGAUGCAUGAGGGACGCAGGUUCGGUGCCUUAAAAGGCAUCUGCCUUUGGUUCACUGACAUGUGGACAAGUCACCUGUUAGGCCUGCAUGUCAUAGACACAAAGAUAGGUGCCUUAAGGCACUGAAGUAUCAUUCAUGCAUGAGCAGCUGAACAACCGGCAGACACAGUGUGACUUGUAUUGUACUCCCUUUGUUCGAAAUUACUUGUUACGAAAAUUGAUGUAUCUAUACGUAUUUUAAUUGUAGAUACAUCAAUUUUUAUUCACUUUUAAGACAAAUAAUCUGAAAUGGAGAAAGUACACACGUGCAGACACGCUACACUUACUUCACUUCACUAUGUGUGGGUAUGGCACGUACGUACCUAGGAAGGUCGCAACCGUGCGGCUGCCACCGCCAGUGCUGGUACCGGAGGUCCGUCCUGCCGUACCUCCCGCACGCCAGGUUCUCCGACAUGAACCGGCAAGCGCUCUCCUUGUACAGAGCGUACGCCUCCUCGUCGUACACCCACCGGCCGGAGGACAUGUCGCACUCGUCCACACCCCGACCACCGCCGGCGGCAACAGUGAUGGGUGGCGGAGGCAUGCUCGGUGGGGGUGAUGCCGCUGCUCUUGGCCGUCGUCGUGACCGAGAUUGUGGCCGUAGGAGGCGAAUGCAUCGUCGGCGUUUUCAGGGGCAAAGCCAGGAUUUGAGCAUAGAGAAGACGGAGACUGAUUCGGCGAUAAGAAAAAAAACCAGAACAUAGUAAAGCUAUCGAGUGAUUUUGAUUGAUACCUGAAUAUGCUUCUCGUUGUUUGCUCGAACCAAUCCCUUCAAAAAUGAAUGUACUGAUUCUUCUGAUCAUGACUAUGCACAAACACAAGCACAGUCGAUGAUUUUUUUUAAUCCAAAUGACAGAAUCAGUGUAUUAUAUCUAUUUUUUAUAUCAAUUUGUGAGGAUAAAACAGGAGAUUGCUGCAUCUAACUAAUUCCAUCUAAAUCAAAAAUCGGUGUAAUCUUAAUCCUAAUGCGGAUUGGUAUUGUCAGAUCGAACAAACUAAUGAAGAGGGACUCACCACAAAUUUUCUUGCGCAUCGUCGUGGUCAUCGGGCGCAGCGUGACAGUUUCCACCAUCGGUGGUGAUCGCCUGUGACCUGUAAGGUGCGGCGCCGCCUACCUUUUGCCAACCGACGAACUGCCCUAGACGGCUGCGAGUCAUGCGUGGUGCGUCCUGGGCGACUAGGCGGCUGUUUGUCUUUACUUCUAAUGGAGUAGUUGAUAGCCUCGUACGGUUUAUUUUCGUCCCACCACUUUCAACAGUUUUAUUUCGUCGGAUUUUUUUCGUCUCCUCUCCCACCCCACCGAUUUAGUUUCGCGUUACCCUCACAUACAAUGAAAAAAAUCUGAACGGAUCAGAACUUUUCAUUCUGACGCAAUUUAUUGAGGAAUGUCUUUAUGUGAAAGAAUCAAUCACGAUCAAUCUCUAAAGAUCAAAUCUAAAUUAAUCAACCUUACAUUAAAUUGCUCAAUCACAUUAAUCUCUGCGCUUGGCAGUCCGUACGUUGUUUCUUUAGUUCGCUUCCACCACCUCCCUUCGUUUUUUUCUUGCAGCAAUCUCUACUCCCAAUGCACGAGUUGAUUGAAUAGUCCUAUCACUUUCGUCUGGGUUUUUUUUGUCUCAGCUUCCACCAUCCACCACCUCGCACUGGUUUAUUUCCGUCUCACCUCUCACCACUCCUCCUUCCAUUUUUAUCUCCGGUUACUAAACCCGCCAACUGAUUUUUCUUCCUAUCCCACCGAUCUUCUCUCAUUGUUUCCAUUCUGUUCCGGAUCUCCUUCCCCUAAUCCUUUCCAAUCACUCCCAAGUCAGAAUUUUCUUCCAAAUCUGACCAUACCUAUCUUCUUUCCAUUCCAUUUCCGAUCUCCUUCCCUCAAUCUUUUCCAAUCAUUCCCAAUUCAGUUUUUUCUUCCAAAUCCGAUCACACCCGAUCUAGAUCUCGAGGGUUGCCUCCCGUUCAUCCCAGCACGUCCCUUGUACCAGCCAUGGAAGAGAGGAGGGAGAGAAGAUGGGAGCACGGUGGCCUCUGGGCCGUCUUGGCCCUAGCGGGAAGGCAUUAGGAGGAGCCCGGGAAUGGGCGAUAUGGCGAAGGUCGUGGCCAUCGUGGUCGCGGCCGUCGUGCUCGUGGCGUGCGUGUUCCUGGCCAUUUGGAAGUACCGAUGGCAGGCCAGCACCGUUGCACGCACACGGACACGGUCACUCGAGUCAUCCACGGCUACGCCGCAGGCCAACGGCUCCGCGAGCCUUAAUCCAGUAUCUCUGUCUUCGUGGUCUUCGAGAGCGUCUCCGACUGGGGCAACAACCUACUGCCGGCGGGGAAGCAAAUCGCCUUCUGGGGCGGGCGGGGCAACAACGGCAGGGACCAGCCCAUGUCCGUCUUUGGGAUCCCGAAGUACCAUUACAAGUAUGGCAACUACUCCUCCGUUGCAAUCUUGGUUGCAGUAUUAAGAUCACAUGAUCAGUGAAUUGUAAAGUUGAAAUAUAUCAGCUUGACUGUCUAAUGCAUUUGAUCCAAUUAAGGAUAGUACGUUCAUGGCAGCUCUAGAAAUGCAUGCGUGCAACUUAUACCAUGAUCUUAUUGUGAAUGUUAGUGUUGGUGAGAGUAGCCAGAAGCAAAGUAACAUCUUUCUGAUUGCUCCAUGUUACUGUGUCGGUUGUUCAGGGAUCUGCAGAAGGCUACCAAAAACUUCACAACGAUUCUGGGCCAUGGAUCAUUUGGUCUUGUGUACAAGACUGUAAUGGCUACAGGUGAAGUCAUGGCUGAAAAGGUUCUUGCGACGCCGCUGCUACUUGGUGCCCGCCACACCCCAAGGUAUCGGUUGCCGUCCCUGUUCUCCCGGUGGCCCUCUCGUCAGGCGCUCACUUGGUCGAGAGUUUGUCACAGCCGCCGAGGAACAGGUCAGUGAACUCUAUUUACUUUUUAUGGUCUCACCUUAGCUAUUUGAUUCCUUUCAAUUGUGUGUCGCAUAUGUGCAGUCUAAUUUAGAAUUUUAAAAUUCUCUACUUCUAAUGUCUGAGUUGGUUGAAUAGUACGAUUUAUUUUCGUCCCACCACUUUCAACCGUUUUAUUUUGCUGGGUUUUUUUUCCGUCUACAUUCCCACCAACCCUUGGUUUAUUUUUGCGUCAUCCCCCACACAAAAAAAAAAAUCUGAGGCCUCUUUUGGUUCAUAAGAUAGGAUUAUCGUAGGAAUAGGAAUCUUGUAGAACGGAUCAGAACCUUCCAUGUUGACUCGAGUUAUUUAGUAAUGUCUUUAUGUGAAAGAAUCAAUCACGAUCAAUCUUAAAGAUUAAAUCUAAAUUAAUUAUCCUUACCAUAAAUCGCUCAAUCACAAUAAUUAAUCAAAAUUACAUUAGUUUUUAGGGCAAUAUCUCACACCUCGAUCUUUUUGUACAUCGAAUCGCAAGGACGACGCGGCCCUCGGAGCCCUUCGCCACCGCCGGUGUCCGAGAGGACCUGCCGCCGUCUUCCCCACCAAGAUCUCCACCCUCUCCCCCGCCAGCGUCAUCCACUCACGUUCUUUCCUUAAAGCGGGGAGGCCCCAGAUCGAGUUGAGCAAGUCAGGGGCCGCCGCCGACGCGGAUCCCCACGAACGAGCCAGCCAUCGCCGCUGCGGUUCCCCACGAACGAGCCAGCCAUCGCCGCCUCGGAUCCCCACGGACGCCGCCGCGGAUCACCACCGUAGCCCUCUCCUUCUCCCCCUCCGUUCGUGCCUCCUACCUCUUCCUCCAAUCUCCAGGUAAAUCCUGAUCCGCGAGUUCCUGGUUUUGAACAUAUGGUGUGUGUUGCUGUACUGCAGGUCCUUUGGGGAGAAGAGCUUCUGCGGUAGGUCGUUGUCGGCGGCGGUAUCACACCUCUCACUCGUCUUCUAUCAGAUUGUGCCAGACCAACCAUCAAGUUAUUUUCACCUGGCAACAUGUGCUCGUGAUGCCAUUUGAAUUUUCGAGCAAGUCUCGGUCUUUCCUGGUCCGGCUAUCCAGGCGACAAAUGCCAACUUGGUAGCAGUUAUCGAGCAUGGCUAAGAAGAAGGUAAUUCAUAUAUGCAUGGUGCAGAUUUGUAAACUCUAAUAUCCUCAUACUUUCUCUCUGUUUUUUCAGUGGGUAGGGGUUGGUGCGACUAAGGCCCCGUUCGUAAUCUCUCUGCUCCUCCACUCCGCGGAGUUGGUGGAGCUCGGUCUUCGCAGCUCCAUUAAAGUGAGGUCCGCUCCGGGAGCAGAGUUAAGAGAGCGGAGAGGAACCGAACGCUUCCUAACUGUACUUGCUUCCUAGAGAACAACUAUCACAAAUCACAUGCAAGUUCAGUCGUCGUGAGCUAUAGUAUUCGACAAAAAUGUACAUGGCAUUGAGCUAUAAUAUUUAUUUCGUUUUCAUUCUUAUAAUAUAAAGUUCAGUGUUACUUCCAUUCUGUUUCAUGGUAAUGAUGUGUUGGGUAUGUUUCAGUUAGUGGAGGAAUCUGAGAACACACAGAGAUUUAACUUACCCUGUUAAAUGCUUAAAAUGCAUGUCCGUUCUGUUGGAUGCAUGUUUGCGUGUAUAUAUAAAUAAAUAUGAUUCUCACCACCCUUCAUCCUAAUUCGUAAAUGCAAAUACUUGACUAAUGCUGGAUCUUGCACAGCCAACUUUACACUUUCAUCACAAAGGUGAGAAGGCUAGCGAAGUGGUCCGUGCCAACAUGAAGAAACUUGAAGAUGCCAUUCAUGGAAAUUCUACACAACUAAGAUCUUUUUUCAUCUUUUUUCAUACACUGAUGGUACACUUCUGUUUCAAUGAUCUUGCCUGCUGCAAAUUAACAAGAAUAUACAAGCAUGGUCAAGAUAAUCUGAAUCUUGUAGGCUUGUAGCUAAACUAGCUGCUGAAAGGCACGAGUGAUGUGUACUAAAGGAUUCACAGACCAUGUCUACUUUUUGUGAUUAAUAAUAGUACCAUAUGUUGGAAAAUAUUAGUUAUUAGGGAUGAACACCAAACUGUUGUAGGGAAAAUCUGUAACAUCUAACCACCUUUUUUUAUGGACACAUGACACCUAUUUCAAUUGGUCUUCUUUUAAGCGUCAUAAAUUCUUCAAGUUUGCUAACCAUGAGACCAUUAUCGGUUGUGAUAAUUAUAUGAAUCUUGGAGAUAAUAGGUUUUGUAUAUUAUUUAUUUCACAGUCAUCGACGACUACAAUGAGGAGCACAAUAGCAGCAAGUCAGUACCAGCGAGCAGGGAGGAGGGCAACCAGCUUCAAAGCAGACUUCAUCCAGAGAAAGGCACUUAUUCACCCUUAUUUUGUAGUACUUAUCCUUUUUAUAGUUUCAGACGAAAUUUUUAUUAUCGAUAAUUAAUAUUUCGGUAAUUCUGAAACUAAUAAACAUUAAUGAGAAAUUUGAAAAAUAGGAAGGACACUAGGAAUAAUAGCGUCCAAGGCUGGGCGUCAGUACCAACAAUGUCCAAGGCUGGACGCUCUUAUAAACAGCGUCGUGUUUGGUUUGACCAGACCCCGCCUGGCUACCUUCGGCCUUUGACUUGUACCCUCAGCCACCUCCACAGGACUAAAGCUAGACUCCGUCACCUCUAGCCCGUCGAAAAUGGCGCUUUAACAUUAUUGUGUUUGAUAGUAUGAUGUGUGUUAGCUGAUUGUCAAAAAAAAUGUGUUAGAUGAGACAACAUUGUUAUCAGUUAUGUUAGCUUGACGAGUACCAUCUAAUUUUUUCAAAAGCCCAUGGCAACGCACGCGUAUUUUACCAUCUAAAUUUUUUCAAAAGCUCGUGGCAACGCACGGGCGUUCUACUAGUUUUCAAUAGCGGGUUGGCGAACUAGUAUGAUGGUAAGCUGAAUUAUUGGGCUUCAAAAAAACCAACUCCUUUGAUUCUUUACGUCGCUGGGCUCGCUACAGGCCUUGAACGCCCAGAAUAGGAGGGGGGGGGGGAGGCGAAUUAUGCCUAAGGCUGGUCAUAAUGGGAAGUAACUUAUACUAGUGUCAUCUCUAUAGUGUGAAGUAACAUAGUAGUAGUAUCAUAGAUGACUUUAUUUAUUAUCUUGUAGACUCAUCCUUUCUCGGAAAGUGCUAUGUUACAGUAAAUAUUAUGUUACUUUAAACACCUCUCUUCUCAUUAACUAUAUGCCACAUAAGUAAAAAAAAUUGACUAUGCUAUGUUACUAUCUAAGUUACUCCCACUAUGACUAGCCUAAAGAGCAAAAUCUAAUCAANNNNNNNNNNNNNNNNNNNNNNNNNNNNNNNNNNNNNNNNNNNNNNNNNNNNNNNNNNNNNNNNNNNNNNNNNNNNNNNNNNNNNNNNNNNNNNNNNNNNNNNNNNNNNNNNNNNNNNNNNNNNNNNNNNNNNNNNNNNNNNNNNNNNNNNNNNNNNNNNNNNNNNNNNNNNNNNNNNNNNNNNNNNNNNNNNNNNNNNNNNNNNNNNNNNNNNNNNNNNNNNNNNNNNNNNNNNNNNNNNNNNNNNNNNNNUAAGCCUAAUUACUAAUGUACGAUGCAAACCUGGGGGGGGGGGGGGUGCUGGCCCUGCUCGUCCCUCCUUAGGCCAACUCCAGCGCGCGACCCCAUCCCGCCCGGCCCCAUUCGUUUGGGGUAAAUGGGACAAACCAGACGACCCAGCGUACGACGGCCUGAACUCAACUGGUCCGUUUUGUGUCUAUGCCGACACAUUUCGAGCGCAAACUUGCGCCGGGUUUGGGUCCUGGCGGACAGCAAACGGACGCGUCGCUCGUCCGCUUCGGGGUCGCGUGGGAGGAGGCCACCUACCUCCCACCGCCCGACAUUAAUGCUCACGCGCGGUCAGCCUCACUUGUCAUCCGCUCAGGCGAACGGUCGCCGUCCUUCUUAAAUGGGGAAGCCGUGGACCGGUCGUCGUCCACACUCCCCACUCCAGCCCGUUGCCUCCUCUAAACCCGACAUGCCUCAAACCCUAGCCUCUCCCCGUCAUCGAACUCGCCAACUGAUCCUUGAUCCAGCUCCUCGCCUUGCCGACAUGAACUCGUACACAGUCCUCGGAUCCUGGAUGGGAACACUUGCACCUAUCCACCACUUCUUUCCUCAUCUUCCCUGAGUCAUCACUAGCUGAGGUAUCUAUGUUGAGGCGACAGACAGUUGUGCCCAGUUUUGCUAAGGUUGCAGCUUUGUAAUCAUCAGUGUCCACAGGGUCUGUUCUAACACGUUUCUGUGCAUAACUUGACAAGUUGCUGAUGUUAGGAGCUACUCCUUCCUGGGAACAAGCAGACUGAAUUAGACGCAGGUUCAAACAACAGUGGAUACAAGAACUCAAACAAUGUGGAGACGAUCUGAAAUCAAUUUCACAAGAAACCUGAUACAAGAACUCGUCUCAAUUUUGCAAGAAAUUGGGAUAAUAUCGCCUCGCACAAAUCCUAAUACCACCAAUUUCGCACAAAUCCUGAUAUCCGCAAGAACUCGGAAGAAUUCGCAUCUAGGACUGAGACUCGAGAGUCGGAGCGUACCUGGCGCAACCCUGCGAUCGCCUUCCGCGUUGGCUCGAUCUCCGCGCGGCUGCGCCCCCGCGUCGCCAUGGCCACCACCCGGGCCAGCCAGACCGCCGCGUCGGCCUCGGCCAUGCCAUUCCGCGUGCCCGCGUCUUCCAAGUUCCAACGCACGCCGUGUCAGCGGCGCCGCACGGCGUCUCGGAGCCAACGGGAGGAGGCCUCCGCCCUUAGGGCUUGCCCCACCGCCGCCUCCGCCGCUGCUUGUUCCUCCCGCUCGUCCGCCACCACCUCCGCCCCGCCUCUUCCGAACCUCCGUGGCCAUGAUCUUAGGAGCUGCUCCUUCCUGUAACAAGCAAUGUGGAGACGAUUUCAGCUCCUUCCUUAGUUUUAGCAGCACAACAACCUUCAUAUCUUGCCCAAAGCUUCUGAAGAGCUUUUUUAGUACUAGCUUCGGGAUACUCCAUGUCAACCCAUUGAACAUAGCCACAAUUGUCAAUAUGCAAGAAAAAUGAGUUACUUAACCAUAAGCAACUACAAAUGGUACACCAGAGUAACAUAAUCCUUUUCAUAACAAAAUUCAUUAUUUAACUAUGUUUGUCUCUAGCUCCUACUAAAUAGAAAACCUUCAGAUAAAUAGAGCAGUUAAGCUUCAGAGAAACAGAGCAGUUAAGCUAUAGAGAAACACAACAAUUAAGCUUCAGAGAAGCAUAGCAGAUAAUUUGUCUUUAACUAUGUUUGUGGAAGUAAACUUUCAACACAUAGGUUCUCAAAUAAGGAGAUUAAGGACAUAUAAAUCUCAGCCUAGCUCCUUUUUCAAACCAGUGUGACCAUUAACCAUUACAAUGGUACAACAGAGAUAACUGAAUUAAUAGAAAAUAAAAACAUUCAGAGAAACAGAGCAGUUAACAUGGGAUUUCAAAUAAGCAAAGCAGGACAUGCAUUGCAACUUACUUCUUCACCACAUCCAUAAAUUUCCUGGCUAUUUUCCGAUGGUAGCACUCAACUGGGCCCUCCUCUGACACCACUUCGCCUUCAAAGUCGGAGUAGUCUAUGGUUAGGAGCGGCUGGAUCAAGUUCAAAAGGAAUUUGGAGUGGUCAAAUGCACUUGACCCGGUCCAAAUCAUACCAAAAAGAAAAUCCCCAGUCUGAACUCUCUAAAUCUAUUAAGAUACUAAACUCUCUAAAUUUUGAGCCUCCUGGUGUGUCGAGGAGUGGGGGGCGCUACGGGCCUGCUUGUAAGAGUUUGUGUCGUUGGCCGAUCGGUUUUUCUGGUAUUGAGAAAGUAUUGUCUAGUUUUAUUUUCUUUUUUUUGUGUGUGUUUUCACCAUUUUUAAUAGUUUUUCUUUUGGGUUUUCUAGCCUUUUCCUUUUUCUGGUUGGUUUUUUCCUUUUGCUCUUUUCCUAAUUUUUUAUUUCACUUCUUCACAUUUUAAUUCAUGAAUAUUUAUGAUUCUAAAGUUGAUGAACAUUAUUAAGGUCUGUGAACAUUUUAAAAUUUGCUAAUAUUGUUCUGAAUUUGUGAAUAUCGUUCAAAUUCAUGAUUUUAAAAGCAAUCGUGUUUUUUAAUUUGCAAUCUUUUAAACUUAUUAUUUUUAAUUAUGUGUAUUUAUUUGAUUUAAUGAACUUAUUCAAAUAAAAAAUAUGAUAGCCAACCUUUUCUAACCAAGCAGUGGAGCGAGAAAAGAAAAACUAAGCGGGGGAGUGGAGCAUGCCGAGCUGGCCGAGCGUGAGGUUCAUGGGCUGGCCCAUGUGAGUGUCAUAAUAGUAAUUUUAUGGUGUCAACGUUUAAUAAGAGCUUUCAGGGGGCUCAUACAACCACCACCGGCUGACAUUAAAACCAAAAUGUUUAAGAACACCACAACCACACAUCUAACAACUCCACUCUUUUCUUAGAAGGAAUAUCAUGUCCAAUGUAGUCCAACACAAUAUAAAAUAGAAAAAAACAUUGUCAGAAAAUAAUUUAACCUAAGCCAAUGCAAAUAAAACAAGAAAGAACAAACUGACCAUAAUGACCAGUUAGAAAAAAAGUUAAUUCCUCGCAAACUAAAAUAAAUAAAUAAAGUUAAUCCCACAACUGCUUCGUGUUGCGAAGCGCGCCUUAACAUCUAGUGCUAGUAAACUAUACACGAUUGAUCAGUCAGCUUGAUUGAUACGAUAUCUUAUUAUGGGGGAAGUUGAUUCGUUGUACUACCAUGAUUGAAAAUGAAUAAAUCAAAAGUUUUCUCGCAAAAAAACUUAUUCCUUUUCAUAAAUUUUCUUGAAAACAAAAAAUGAUUUGUAAUCUUUUUUUAGUCUGAAAAUGAUUCGUAAUGGUAACGGCCUGAAACGUGGGGUCCAUAGUACUUUGGGCCGGUGAGUAGCCGAUGCCGCUUGGGCCGUUUAUGCAGGAACCUGGUUGCUCUCGGCCCUGGUCAUAGCCGGAGUUACAGACCCAGCUACCUUGGAAGCAAUAGCAUGUAGAGAAGGACUUGCUUUGGCAAAUGAUCUUCUUGUGGGGAACUUAAUCAUCGCUACGGACUACAAGCAGGUUGUCGAUGACAUCAAGAAUGGCAAUCAGGGAUCAUAUGGGUCGGUGAUAACAGAAAUCAAGAUGCGUUCUUUGAGUUCUAUUUGUAAUUUUGUUUUUGAAAGCCGUUCUUCAACGGUGAAGUUCAUAGUUUAGCUAAGCAUGCACUUCCUCUCAGUGCGGGAUGUCAUAUGUGGUUGGCUAACCCCCAUAAUCCGAACUGUAUCCCACUCCAUGUGGAUUAUGAUCAAUAAAGCUUAGCUUUGUCCUCAAAAAAAUAACUUGCCUGCCUGUUUGAGACACCGGGACACGAGAGACCUUCCUUCCCUCAAAAAAGAUAAAAAAGGCACGAGAGACCUUCCUUCCUCCUUUGCUCCUCUUGCAAACGACCGGCUGUGCUAGGGUUCCUGAUCCUGCCGACGACUUCUCCAGUACUGCUACACCACCCCGCUCCACACCCCUCCACCAGAAUUAGGUGAGAACUUCAAGAAACCCUAAGUUGUCUGGGUAUCGGUUUUUUUCUUUCUAGAAUACUCUGGGUACGGUUUUUCACAUCUGAUUUCAGUAAUUAUUUCAGUUAUCUUAUUAGUAUUUGAGAUUUCUCUAGUUUCCGAUUACUAUCAAGGUUUCUCUAGUACUAUGACAUUUACGAUUUUAGGUUGAUUUAUGCUUUUCAUCUUUAAUCAAUUCAGUUUUUCUUUUCCUGAACUUAACAUCCUGUUAAUAUGUACUGUAGUUCCUAAAUAUUUCAUCAGACGCUCUAAUGCUAGGUAUAGGAUGCCUCGAGUUGGAGACCCAGAAGCAUCCUCCUUCUUAAGGCUCUUGGCGGAGUUCAGCUACCUUUCCUCCAUCAUUCUGGAACGAUGGAUUAAUUUGAAGAACGUGUCUAUCGGACGGCCUUUCUUAUCUUUUCCUAAUUUUUUAUUUCACUUUUUCACAUUUUAAUUCAUGAAUAUUUAUGAUUCUAAAGUUGAUGAACAUUAUUAAGGUCUGUGAACAUUUUAAAAUUUGCUAAUAUUGUUCUGAAUUUGUGAAUAUCGUUCAAAUUCAUGAUUUUAAAAGCAAUCGUGUUUUUUAAUUUGCAAUCUUUUAAACUUAUUAUUUUUAAUUAUGUGUAUUUAUUUGAUUUAAUGAACUUAUUCAAAUAAAAAGUAUGAUAGCCAACCUUUUCUAACCAAGCAGUGGAGCGAGAAAAGAAAAACUAAGCGGGGGAGUGGAGCAUGCCGAGCUGGCCGAGCGUGAGGUUCAUGGGCUGGCCCAUGUGAGUGUCAUAAUAGUAAUUUUAUGGUGUCAACGUUUAAUAAGAGCUUUCAGGGGGCUCAUACAACCACCACCGGCUGACACUAAAACCAAAAUGUUUAAGAACACCACAACCACACAUCUAACAACUUCACUCUUUUCUUAGAAGGAAUAUCAUGUCCAAUGUAGUCCAAUACAAUAUAAAAUAGAAAAAAACAUUGUCAGAAAAUAAUUUAACCUAAGCCAAUGCAAAUAAAACAAGAAAGAACAAACUGACCAUAAUGACCAGUUAGAAAAAAAGUUAAUUCCUCGCAAACUAAAAUAAAUAAAUAAAGUUAAUCCCACAACUGCUUCGUGUUGCGAAGCGCGCCUUAACAUCUAGUGCUAGUAAACUAUACACGAUUGAUCAGUCAGCUUGAUUGAUACGAUGUCUUAUUAUGGGGGAAGUUGAUUCGUUGUACUACCAUGAUUGAAAAUGAAUAAAUCAAAAGUUUUCUCGCAAAAAAACUUAUUCCUUUUCAUAAAUUUUCUUGAAAACAAAAAAUGAUUUGUAAUCUUUUUUUAGUCUGAAAAUGAUUCGUAAUGGUAACGGCCUGAAACGUGGGGUUCAUAGUACUUUGGGCCGGUGAGUAGCCGAUGCCGCUUGGGCCGUUUAUGCAGGAACCUGGUUGCUCUCGGCCCUGGUCAUAGCCGGAGUUACAGACCCAGCUACCUUGGAAGCAAUAGCAUGUAGAGAAGGACUUGCUUUGGCAAAUGAUCUUCUUGUGGGGAACUUAAUCAUCGCUACGGACUACAAGCAGGUUGUCGAUGACAUCAAGAAUGGCAAUCAGGGAUCAUAUGGGUCGGUGAUAACAGAAAUCAAGAUGCGUUCUUUGAGUUCUAUUUGUAAUUUUGUUUUUGAAAGCCGUUCUUCAACGGUGAAGUUCAUAGUUUAGCUAAGCAUGCACUUCCUCUCAGUGCGGGAUGUCAUAUGUGGUUGGCUAACCCUCAUAAUCCGAACUGUAUCCCACUCCAUGUGGAUUAUGAUCAAUAAAGCUUAGCUUUGUCCUCAAAAAAAUAACUUGCCUGCCUGUUUGAGACACCGGGACACGAGAGACCUUCCUUCCCUCAAAAAAGAUAAAAAAGGCACGAGAGACCUUCCUUCCUCCUUUGCUCCUCUUGCAAACGACCGGCUGUGCUAGGGUUCCUGAUCCUGCCGACGACUUCUCCAGUACUGCUACACCACCCCGCUCCACACCCCUCCACCAGAAUUAGGUGAGAACUUCAAGAAACCCUAAGUUGUCUGGGUAUUGGUUUUUUUCUUUCUAGAAUACUCUGGGUACGGUUUUUCACAUCUGAUUUCAGUAAUUAUUUCAGUUAUCUUAUUAGUAUUUGAGAUUUCUCUAGUUUCCGAUUACUAUCAAGGUUUCUCUAGUACUAUGACAUUUACGAUUUUACGUUGAUUUAUGCUUUUCAUCUUUAAUCAAUUCAGUUUUUCUUUUCCUGAACUUAACAUCCUGUUAAUAUGUACUGUAGUUCCUAAAUAUUUCAUCAGACGCUCUAAUGCUAGGUAUAGGAUGCCUCGAGUUGGAGACCCAGAAGCAUCCUCCUUCUUAAGGCUCUUGGCGGAGUUCAGCUACCUUUCCUCCAUCAUUCUGGAACGAUGGAUUAAUUUGAAGAACGUGUCUAUCGGACGGCCUUUCUUAAUAUACAACACUGUAUGGUUGGUUCUUCACAAAAUAGACUCGCCCUAUGCACGGCCCUGGAUACUUUUUUAAUACUCCACCCUUUUAGCUUUACAAAGGCACCUGAACCCGAUGGGUGCCAUGUUGACUUAGUGGAGGGACUUUGUGAAAACAAACAACCCUCGGAACUGUAGAUUUGUGAAAAUUGUACCAAUGAGAGUGAGUGGAGUGGGUGGUUGUGUGAAACAUGAGUUUAAAAUUGUGGUUCUAUGAGAAAUUAUUUCAAUGAAAAUUGGCUUUCUGUUAUGUCAGGCAAAAGUGUCUCCCUUUGAAAUUUUAUGUCAUUUAAGGGUAUGGUUAUGUGCUAUGUAUCAUUAAAUGCGUGUGCAUUUAUGUCAAAUAAUUUGCAUAUGCAGGUUUUAAACGACGGAGCUGAUAUUUUUGUCUCUCCAGCCAGUUGGCCACCCGCUUGUAUGUUGCUCCGAGAAUUCUUUCAUUUGAUCAAACAAUGCAGCAGCAAUCCUUGAAACUUGAGAAUCUGCGUCACUUUUGUUUUGUUAGCCCACAGACCACAGCUCUGUUCUGGACACAUGGCUACUUUGACCUCCAGGCACCUCCAUUCUCACCAGCAUGAUUUAAACUUUUUGAAGCAUUUCCUUGGGAAGGUUUCCUAGUACUCUUGCAGAAACCAUAGAGAUUCAAGCAAAAGAGACCGAUGAAUUGAUUUCUGUUAGAUACUUGUCUGGUAUGCAAGAAACCUUUGAUAUCAUGAUGAAGUAUAUUCCUGGCAUGGCAAGUAUGCAACCCUUUCGUAAGCUGCUCUGUAUAAAUUAAAAGUGAAGAAUGUUAGAGAAAUAUGAAUAGAUCUUUUUAAUCAAGAUAAUUUUGUAGCGAGCAAACUAAGUGAUAGGUUGCAUUGGUGUUUUUCCCCCUGUGGUCUGUUAUGUUGGGUGUGCUCUGCUUUCAGGUGUUAAUUCUGUUUUAGAUGGACCCUUUGGUUCGUAUUAUUUCAAUUAUCAGUAAUAUUGCUCCUGUUUUGCACAAUGGCAAUUGGCACCGCUGCUUUAACUGCCACAAUUCCUGUUUUGCGCCUUGGCGAUUGGCUCUUUCUUUUCCAAUAUGUAUGCUUGAGCCCCUGUGCAACACCGUGUGUACUCUCUGUUUUCUUGUUGCAUGUACAUCGAUCUUUAGUUUUUGAUUCAGGCGAUAUCAGUCUAUAAAGUUUAAUGGUUUGUGUAUGACAGGAUGCAUGGCUCGUUUUAUGUUUGAGCAUUUGUUUGGUUUUGUACAGAGAUGCCAAUCGGUUUAGCUUCUUUUAGCCUGUGCUUAAUUUUCCCCAACUGUCAAUAUCCUGUCAGAGGGAUUUCUAUCAUCGGGGGCUGCACACUAUGAGAACCAUGUUUUUCUGGCUGUACUUUUUUGCUUUGGAGAUUUGUAAGGCAUCACCUUUUUGCAGUUUAUAUACAGUUCUAUAGUAUACUUUGUUGUUGGACCAUAAUAAAAUAUGUUAAAUUUGAUGACUCACAUCAAGAACCAUAGUCUCAUAAAGAGUUAUUUCUGUGUCUCGGCUAUCACUGCUAAACCAAAGUUUGUAAGGCCUGACCUUUUUUGCUUUUGCUUCUUAUACCAAACACAGUUUGUCUUGGUUCCGUUUGAAGUAAAAUUUGAAGCAUCUAAAGCAAGGCAAUAUAUCCAGUGAACUCUGGAUUUGGUUGAAAACCUAAAAACUUGCCUCCUAUGCCAUUAGAUCUACAACGAACGGCAUCCGAGGCAGUCAACUUGACUGCCUAGAAUUGCAGCUGAGGUAAGGAAAUGUUGAUUCUUGCCGUGUAACGGGCAGUCAACAGAUUUGUGACCCGGGGCUGAGCAAUUAAUGCAGAUUAAGCGAGCCUUGCAAGAAUUUUUGUCGUGACCCCAUUGGAGGCAGCGAGAGCAAAGGACCGCCCAAUUAAUGGAUAAUUCCUGUAUAUCUGCCAACGAGUAGUGGGCUUGGGCCAGAUCUGCCUUGUGACGGGCUGAUAGCACAGCNNNNNNNNNNNNNNNNNNNNNNNNNNNNNNNNNNNNNNNNNNNNNNNNNNNNNNNNNNNNNNNNNNNNNNNNNNNNNNNNNNNNNNNNNNNNNNNNNNNNNNNNNNNNNNNNNNNNNNNNNNNNNNNNNNNNNNNNNNNNNNNNNNNNNNNNNNNNNNNNNNNNNNNNNNNNNNNNNNNNNNNNNNNNNNGACGGAAGGAAACACUGUGGUAGCGGCAGAUAAGGGGUGGACAAAGAGCAAUUAAAGUCUCCCAAUUUAAUGUAGUCUAAUGGCCGACGCUCCUCUAAAUCUGCCUGGUGUAAGAAAUGCUCCAUUAAUGCCCAUGGGAGCAUAAAUAGUCUGAUAUUGAUAUUCUUUACUCUAGAAACACCUAACAAAUUAUUUGCUAGAUUCAUACACUCUAGAACAGCCUAUCAAGUUUCAUAGAUAUUUAAGUCUAUUAUGGAAAAUGAUACAUACACAUACAUAGCGAGAUAAUAUUAGUUUCUUAAGAUUUAGAGUAAAAUCCGUUGAAAAAUGACAGUGUUCUAAACACCCAAAACUAGAAAAUGGGCAAAAUACCAUCUCAGCUUGGCAGACAAAUUUGUAUUUUGUUUGUAUGUAUAAGAAUUUCAUGAAAAAUAUGUACAUUAGUAUAGAUAAGUCUAUUUACAAUUUUAACUCGACUAAUUAUACCAAAAACAUGAUAUUCCAAAUAUUAAAAUUGAAUAACUUCAGUCAAUAAAAAUAAUAUACACCUUUCAUGACAAGAUGAGUUAACAUGAAGUACAAAAGUUUAGUAUAAAUAAGCGAGUCGCACAAGAAACCAGUGCACCGUAGGUAGGCAGAAAGAUAUCACAAGGUAGCAAACACCAUAUAGAAAAAAGAGAAACAGGCCCACGAAAUUUUUAUUCUAUGAAUCGUCUUAUUAUUUAACCGGCGGAUUAAUGCCUCGCAUAUUGGUCGUUCGAGCAUUAAGUGAACCCUAAUUCGAAGAAAUUUUAAACUUAGUUUCGCUUGAUUAUAAUGAGGCUACACGAUCCAAAACAUCGAAAAGAGAAAAGGUGUUUACUUAUUUACUAGUUGAUAUAAAUGGCAAAAAUGCAAAUUAAUUAUGCAAUUAUGAUGCUCAUGUAAUGUUGAUGAUUUCAUGAUGGUGCGAAAAUAAAAUAACAAACAAUUUCUUAUUUGGAAAAAACCCAAGGCAGUUGCACGGUAGCUCAAUCCCGGCAAUGCAAUGCUCAUGACGGUGCUAACAUGUCGCUCAUAAGAGAGGGAAACGACCGGCAACAUUUUUAUUUUGUAAAUCGUCUUAUUAUUUAACUGACGGUUAUAAUGCCUGGCAUAUUUUAUUUAUCGGUCGUCAAACGAACUCUGGUUCAGACAAUAGUUUAAAGGUUGUCUCGCUAGAUUAUAAUAAGGCCACCCGAUUCAUCCCAAGUCAAAUCAGAGACCAUUUGAAAUUGAUUUAGGAAAUAUCUCCAUUUACUAAAUAAACAGAGGGUUUGCAUUACGGGUGAUAGCUCGGCUAGCUCGUUGUGACAAAAACCGGGUUACUGCCAAACAUCACAACAAGGUCGAGUUAGUCUGGUGGUCAGUCUCAAUCCAGAACAUAGAAAAGAGAAAGCGGUUUACUUAUUCAUCAUUUGACAAAAUGGCAAAAAAUCCAUAUUAAUUGUUAGGAUGCUCAUGUAAUCGGGUCACUGCCAAACAUCAUUAUGAUGCUCAUGAAAUGUGGAUGAUGUCAUAAUGAUGCAAAAAAUUGCAAACAAUUUCUUGUUUGGGGAAAACCCAGGGUUGUUACACGGGAGCUCGAGCUCUCUGUCGUCCCCUGUCACCGGACAACACAAUGCGUAUGACGGCGCCAACCUGUCAUGCUCCGCACGCUCUGCGUAGGUGUAGAUCCGCCACUUGUCACGCCCCUCUCCCACCCCUCUGACCUCGCACCGAAGGUGCGCGCUCCACGCCGCAAGAGAUAGCGAGUGAAUGAGAGGGUGGUGGCGGUGAAGGCAAGUUCCUCCCACAGAUCCCGCGUGUCUGCGACCGCGCCGCUCGUCGAUCCGGAUAAGCGGCUCUUGCACGUGGUGUUGCAUUCGCCGAUGUCCACAACAGAGACAGACACGAGGUGCCCGCAGUGCAAGAACACGAAUGCACUCCAAGUCAGCACCGAGCAGUCUGAGUGCCUCGCGACGGAGAGGGUGCCUGUCGACGCGUAAGUGGCUCGGCUCACGAAGGAGCAGGCGAGCGCUGCCCAUCGUCUCACUGACAAACAUCUCGUCCUCGCUCGGCGGGGCACGAUGAGCACCGACAAUGACACCCCUUCGGCCGCCGACGCCUACGCGGAGUACUACUACCACCACUCUCGUGGCCGCAAGGAGAAGGGACCGGCGAGGAAAUGAUGAUGUCCAACGCCCCCUCGGUUUAGCUAUGUUUAUCUAUGUAUCUAGAUUCGUGUGAUGAACUUUUGGGCCGGAAUGUACAAAACUGUAUGCCGAAUAAGUAUGGUCCGUGCUAUGUUUCUGUUGUCGGAAUGUUGAUAUGUUGAUCUACAUACUUUGCAUCAACUUGCAUCGCUAGUAUGGAUUUGGGGGCCAGAUGUAAGGGCCUAAGGGGGAUGGCUGUUGACAUGGAGACAUGAGGGGUGACCGGCGGAUGCGCCCGAACACGGGCAUUUAGGUUUAAGGAUUUGUGUGAAGUCCAUUUGUAGAUGUCCUUAACAAUAUUUUCUACCGUUGGAGGUUUUCAGCGUUUCCGUGGCCUGUACGUGCCAAGCAAGCCCAUGAAUCGCAUCCAACGUGUAAGGGGACAAGAUCCGGUGAGGAGAGCAGGGAACACACAUUUAAUCACAUUUUUUGCCAAAAAAGGGAACGAAUUAUAGCCAUGGCGUCCACACGACGCAGCACGCCGAUCGCAACGACACUGUACGAUGCAUGUUAAACGACGACGAUCGACGAGGCUGCGUCAGAGCGCCUGGUCGCUGGCGGGGAAGAAGAUCUUCCAGUAGAGCAGCUCGUUCCAGGCGUCGGGCACGCCGGGGAGGCACCAGUGGGUGCAGUCGGCGUAGCUCUUGGGGUCGGCGAGCUGCUCCUUGGUCGGCGGCGCCCACUGCUCCCGGUACACCUGCGUGUGCGCGUCCCGGCGGUACUCGGACAUCUGCGUGACAUUCACCACGCCCACCGGCACCCUCGCGGACGCGCCCAGCACCUCGCCGGUCACCCGCAGCAUCGCCUUGCUCGUGCUGCCCCAGUAGGACGCGUCGGCGAUGGGCUUGGUCUGGCCGUGGCAGUUGCUGCCCUCCGCCUCGUCGCCCCAGAGCUGGCCGCUGGCGUGCGUGGACGACGCCGUGACGAAGAAGACCCGGGACUUCUUGGGGUCCACGUUGCCGUCCAGCCAGCGCACCACCUGGUGCAGCACCAGCCUGUAGGCCUCCUCCGCCCCCAUCUCCACGAUGUCCUUGCUCAUGUCGUUGUCGGCGCCCCUCCUGCGACCAACCAUGCAUACAGAAGAAGAUCAGAGCUUCGUUCCGAUCAUCAAAGUGAUCUUGAUCAUGGUUGAUGUGGAGAUGUUUGCUCGGCGGCUUACAGAAUCUGGAUCUUGUCUCCGGUCAUCCACCAGAGGUAGGAGUUGAAGACGAGGACGUCGGCGCCCUUCCAGAAGCGGGAGUGGCGGUCCAUGGGGGCGCCGCGGAUGACGCGGUCGUUGAGCUGGUGCUCGACGCCGUCGUCGGCGUUGGACUCGGCGAGGAGCGGCGCCCAGUAGAACUCGAUGGUGGCGUCGUAGGCCUUGGCCCUGAAGAUGCUGAGGGCGUCGACGGUCUCGAAGGAGCUUGAGCCCUCGGGCAUGGCGCGGUGGAGGAGGCAGAGCAGCGACACGUACUGCGCCCGGUUCAGCGCGUCGCCCACGAACAGCAUCCGCUUCCCGCGCAGCAUCUCCAGCAUCACCGUCGCGUUGAAGCUGCAGCACGAGAAUAUUUUCUUCUUCUUAGAACAUCACUUUUACGUUGAUAAAAUCAGAAUAUGAACUGAGAUGAACCACAAACAAAUCAACCAACAACACGUAACAUGUCGCUCCGAAUCUCUGAACCAACCCCAAGUGAUUUUCAUGCAAGUCUUUUAGGGGGAAUGUUUGCCAAUUUACCGUGAAAGAAUGUCCACUCAAAAGUCUAAUUAUUCAUCAAACUACUAGAUCGAUCAGCGUAGCGAGUGCAACAACUGCAGCUGAGUAUAGCUAGUUGACCUGUACCUCCCGUCCCACCCAACCCUGCCGCAUGAGCCAAAACAUUUUGGACAGCGAAUCACCGCUCAGCAUUUCCCCAAAAGACUGGCUGUGCAAUGAGCCAAUGAGACCUCAGAGCCAUGACAUGCACAAGACACUAUUGGGAUUUUGAAUCCACCAACGUUGAUGGACCUCGUUUCGUUUGUCUGCACGGCGUGCAUGUUUGGCAUCUGGACCGAAGCCAUGCACAGCCACCAAGGCGUGCCCCUGGCUUGCCACAGUUUUGGGGUAGAGCAAAAGUGCGGAAUCCGCAGCAGUUUGGCAGCAAUUUUUGUUAAUUUGCUCUGUUAAAAUUGCGGCUAGAACGCAGGCACGUCCCCGACAAUCGGUAGUGCUAGCUCCUGCAUCACGUGAGCACAUAUAGACACACACAAGGAUCAUAACUAACCUCUUCACGAUAAUCACCCAGCAGCAGUACCUCCUCGCCGUUCAUUACUAGCAGUACAGUGCUAUAACGGCUUUGAAGUUUUGAAUCUUUGAGCUCUACUGCUGAGUAACUUGUGUUGGUAGGACGAGAACAGAGAGAGAGAGAGAGAGAGAGAGAGAGAGAGAGAGAGAGAGAGAGAGAGAGAGAGAGGGGAUGGCGCCUCACCUACCCUGCGCUGUAGCGCUGUCCUUCCACGGCGCAAAGGCCCUACCGUGCCUCCGCAUUAUUGGCUUAGCUAGAGCUGGAGCUCACGAAAUUACCACAUCGGUCGAGCUGUUCCCGCGUCAAUCUAUUCUAUCCACGACACAAGUAAUUUCUGGAUUUCUACGUACGCAACAAAGCGGCGCUACUCGUCUCGUCUACUCCUCCGUCCGUAUCUUUAUGCGCGGUGCCUUGCGUGCGUGACGGGCGUGCACUUUGGAUCCCACCGACCGUACCCUACACGCACCGAUCUACCGUGCGCGAGCUCAUCGUGAGUGGCGGUGAGAUGGUAAGGCGAGAACACGCCGGCGGGAGAGCGCACCUGGGGAGCGAGCAGCCGCGGGGCUGCCACCGCCAGUGCUGGUACGACUUGUCGGGGCGGCCGUGCGCCUGGCAGGUCAGCUCGGCCGGGAUGUAGGGGCACGCCGCCUCCUCGUACGCCGGCGCCGCCGCCUCGUCGUACACCCACUCGCCCUGCCCGACGUCGCACCCCUCCGGCGCCGCGCCCACCGCGAACGGCAGCAGCUCCGACCCGCCCUCACCCUCCUGCAAUGCCACGGCAGCAAACAUUAGCCAGGCACGCGCAUUUUUACGCUAAGGAAGUCCAGGGUGCCGGCGACGCGUACCUGGCCAGCGACGCCGAGGAACGGCGCGGCGGCGGCCACGAGGGCCAGGACGGCGAGGAGCUUGGCCAUGGCGUCCGUCAGUUCGCUGGUUGCUGCUCUGCUGGGUGUGUCGGUCGGCUCUGGUAGCUCACGAGGGGCGCGCGCGCAUUGGGUGGGUGGGAUCUCGGCAAGCUCUAGCUCACUCUGAGUAGCCACCAGACCACCGGGACACUGACGGGAUCGGGCUCGCGCUCCAGCAGAUAUAACGCGGGCGCGAGGGUCCGGCUCCAACAACCGCCGCACGUACUCCUACCACUCCUACCACACCAGACCACUGGUAGUAGUAGGCGCGACGACAUUGGGGGGUGCUGGCUAGAGCUAGCUUGUGUCGCACGGCCGCGCGGCAGCUUUUGAAUUUCCUAAACCUAAAGCGAGAUCUCACUCCCUUUCCGAGCCACCGACGGAGUGCGGCUCGACGCCCCGAUCGGCAGUACUGUAGCGAGCUCGCGCCGGUGCGGUACGGUGGCGGGUGGGCGAUGGGUGUGCGUGCGCUCCUUUGCAAGGCACGACUUGCCCGGACUGCCACGGUAGGUGGGUGGGUUGCUCUGAUGCUAUCUGGUUGGAACUCCGUCCAAAUUCUCGUCAGGGUUGGUGCACGGUGUAAAAUUCAGUUUUAUUGUUGUUGCGACUACGUUCUUGAUUAUUAUUCCCUCCGUUUCAAAUUACUCGUCGCAAAAAUGGAUAUAUCCAGAACUAAAAUACAUCUAGAUACAUCCAUACCUGCGACAAGUAAUUCAGAACGGAAGAAGUACGUCCUGCAGGAGCGAACGAACGUGCGCUUUAUAGCAGCAGCUAGCGCGACGGCCCUCCGCGGUACGCUUUUCUCCGGCGGGGGGAACCGGUAAGAACUCCCUGUUGCGAAAGGGAGAACGCCGAGUUCGUGGUGGAAAGGAUCGACACGCUCGAGGAAUGCUCAUGUUACAGCGAGCGUUGCUUCUGCGCAAAGAAGCUCAUUUGGGUGGGAUUUGUUCGCUCGUUUAUACUCCACGCGCACGGUUCAUGCUAUACCUCCGCAAUUUUUGUUAAAAAUGAGGCCCAUGCUACGUAGGAGUAUGUAGGAGUAUGAUUUAUUAGGACUAUCUGGUGCACCUAACUGAAUUCUAUCUGGCGGCAAUCAUCAUUAGCGCCACAAAAGCGACGCACCAAACAAAAAAAUGGUGGCCAUAUCAAACGCUGAGAAGUUCUUUUCGUACCAGAAUUGUGUAAGAUGGUCUAGUGAAAGCAAUGCCAUCUAACAAUAAAACGGAAUUAAUUGAAACUCUAGCCGGCAAAGCGUGACAUAUUUCCCUGUGUGGAUUGUAAGCAAAGGCGCAGAUAAAGUGUGGGUGAGAAAGGUACGGAGCAGGUGCGGGUAGCCAGGCCAGUGGACUGGGAUGUUUGCCAUAUGGGCUGAGGCCGACGCAGCAAGCAAAGCAUCGAUCGGGUCCCGCAUGAGACCGGUUGGAGAAACCUUCCCAUGGUUUCGGCGCUUUAUAGUUUUUCCCUGUUCUUUUUUAAUGUCUCUGAUGGUUUUGGUGCUUUGGUUUGGUGCACCAUGAUAUACACAUGAAUGAUACACGGAAUGGUGUUCCUACGUUGGAGUUUGCGGUGACUCGUCUAGGGAGAAUACACCUCGUACAUUUACUCCCUCCGAUCCAUAAUAAGUGUCAGUAGAAGAUAAGAUUGACGGGAAGAUUGCUAUCCGGGAGGGCAAGCAUGUCAGCAUGGCUGGCAUAUGUGAUCCUCAUAUCUCAAGCCAUAUGCCAUAUAUCUUACGCCGCUUCAUAUACCUGGUAGGAAUCAAAUGAAAAUUCGACAAGCACGGGGUUAAAUAUCUUUGUGCAGGUGUGACAAGGUCACAAGAGGGAAAUGCAAAGUAGACUAGGAGAUAACAUGUGAGUCGGCGGAGUUAGAUGGGUUGUGCAUUCUUCAUCAAGAUAAAUUUGCUACUACGAUGGGAAUUAUAUGUGUCCUUGAUUACAUUGGGUUCAUGCUUCAGUAUCAUGGGCUGAACUUGGUGGUCGGUGCAAUUAAUGUGAUAAUGAGUGAUCCACAACAGCUACAGUGAUUAUGGUGAAGAAGGGAAAUUCUAGGGGUUCCCUGGGAUCGUUGGGAUCAGAUCAAGAGGUAUAGACCCUCAAAAACAUUUGAGAUUUGAACAAAGAACCAAGCACAGCUAGAAAAAACUAUGGGAAAUGCCAGGGGAGUUUCUAAGGUCAACAUGCAACAAGGGCUCACUUUCUAGCACAUACAACAAUUUGCUACCCUUUGGAAAAGCUUAACCACAUUCAUCUUAUUUUGAAAAAGCAAAACAUGGUUAGAUGAGAAUUUCAUGGAUGGUGCUUACACGACCUCAACCCACAAGAGCCCUGAUGAACCUAAUGUUUGGAAACUAUGGGUGCCACCGAAAUGUACAUUCUUCACCUAUUGACCAUAAAAGAAAUAGGAAUUGGAUGGCGGGCCAUCUCUUCGGAUAUGGUUGGAAAAAACAACAUGAUUUGCCCUCUUUACAAGCAAAGUUCCACAAAAGGUGACUCAUCUCACUUUUAAAUGUCAUUAUACGAAAUAAAGCAGCCAGAUAAGUUGGUUAGCCAAUAAUUGAAUACCAUUAUACGAAAGAAGGCAACCAGGUAAAUUGGUUAACCAAGUAUAUUUGUAGAAAACAAUGCUUUUGUAAGCAUAAUUGAAUAUCCACCCCUAUUUUGUUUCCUUAUCGAAAGAAGGAAACUGGCUAAGAUUAGCCAAAAAAGACUCGAACACGGAUUUGUCUAGUAUUCAGGACAUGUCCAAUGGUAAGCGCUUAUCCAGGUGCUUAAAAAAGAAAAAAUAUGUUUAGAAAAUUUAAAAGGCCUAUAAGCGUUAACUCUUCCGACGCAGCAAGGCGCUAAGUACCAGCGCUUAAGGCCUUGUACAAUGAAAGAUGCUUAGAAAAAUAAACCGAGUUUUUCUGAAGUACCGGUGCCUAUUUCUAUAGAAGAGACGCUUAGUUAAGCGUCUACCCUGUACAAAUAAACACCGGUGCUUAAGAAAAAUCUGGUUUAUUUCUUUAAGCACCUCCCAAGGCCUAAGCUCAUGAACACGAUUUCUGCCUCACCUUGUGUGGAGAAAGCACUAAGCGCUCACUGUUAUACUUGGCAUCGAUGCCAGCCCCGAUGCUGGGAAUCCACGAUGCAACCGUCGCUUGGCCGGGAAAUUUUUCCUAGCGCCCUGCUUUAGCGCUGGGCAUCGGAGAUGCCCUCAUAUGGCAUACUCAGUCCGUUCGGGUUUAUAAGUCGAAUAUGCACUUCAAAAUUUCCUAAACCAUCAAUAAAAUUACUAAUAUUAGAGAUCGUAUGUCAUAGUAAUCAUACCAUCCAAAGCUUCUUUCAAAUACUUCUUCUAUACAUAAAUAUAAGACAUUUUAAAUAUUGUAAAAGCAUCAUCAAUAAAAGACUUAAAUACAAAAAUAACUAAUUUUUACAUCAUGAAGUCUCAAAAACGCUGCUCCAACACAUGAUGUAGAUGUAAAAAAAAUUACAUCACGUCCUUCAAGUGAUACAACACUUAGAGAUGUAAAUUUGCAUCUCCACUUCCCUGGUGAUGUAAAACUGCAGCCAUGCGUCAACCGCCCAUUCCUUUCCCCCCACCCACCGCCCGACCGCGUCCUCUUUCCCGCCGCCGUUUGGCCGCCGCGCACCCGUCGUCCGCACCCCGCCACCGUCGCGGCGCCGCCAGAUCUGGCUGAUCCACCGACGCUACUGUUGGUUCCCCCGCCGCCUCCAAAUUGGCCGAAUCAGCUGUUGCGCCGCCACCGGAUUUGAGCUCCCCCGCCGUCGGAUUCGAGACGCACACCGGCCGCCAUGCUGCAGCCGCCAGACUUGUCCUUCUCGCCCGCACAGUUGCUGCCCCGUCGCCGCCAAUCCGCAGCCCGAUUCACGGUCACGCAACCGACCAUUCGAGCUCCCGCCGCUGCAUUCGACCUCCCGGCUCUCAUCGCUCAGCCGCCGCCGCUCAUCCUGGCUCUCAUCGCUCGGCCGCCGGCGCUCCUGCUGACUAGUUUUACUAGUCCGCCGCUGGUUGGGACUUAUUUGAAGAUGUAAAAAGCACUUUUUCAUGAUGUAAAUUAUACAACGCCCACUUUUACACCUUCGGAUUUGCAUCAUCUAUUGAAGAUGCUCUAAGCCAUCUUACAUUUAUGUACGGAGAGAGUAGGUGUUGUAUUUUUUAUGGCGUACGUAUCGUAUACUAUUGGUCUCAUAAAUGCUCAAAGUAAUCUCGAAAUACAUAUGAAAACACAUAAACUUGGACAAAAGAGAGCAUGUGCUUAGUUGCAGGAUCUUAGAUUUGAAAUGGAGUACUACCUUAAUCGUCCCUCUUAGGGUCAGCUGACCUGAGCUAGCUUUCCCGUUCCAGCUCGUCGUGGCGUGCAGAAAUAGCGACGUUUCAGGUCGUUCACGCGGACAGUGAUCGACUUGUAACCAUCCUCCGAGUGUGUGCAGGUCAGAGCAUUUGGCUAUUGGCUUUGGCGUAUCGCGACGGAUCAGCACAAUAAUCAAUUAACCAGACGGGGCCGCCGGACUCGUACAGCACGGCCGGCGUUACGGCGUCGCCGUCGGCACCCGGCGGGCAGGGCCGUGGUGACCUGCUAAGCGCUUAAUCAAGUGUUUUUUUUUUCAAUGGCUCGAUCAUGGCUCAUUUGACUAACUCGUUUGUUGAUCCAUCCGUGUAUCGGGCGGUGCACCUAAUGAGCUGGUGUACGUACGUGGCGCUGCGUACGUGCCGCGAUGGACGCACGCGGGUUUGCCACCGGCUGUGCUGGUGCGCGACGGCGACGGCGCCCGGUGGAUAGAGCACACCAUGGUCCGCCUGGGUUCCACCACCGUCUCACCAACCACCACCGUCCUCCGUCCUCCGCCGCUAGUCUCCGUGCCUUGUCGCUUCCUCGGACCGGCGCCGCGGCAUGCCGGCGUCCGUAUGCGCUGCCGGUGCAUCUUCUGGAGAGACAGGGCCGGAGGCGCACGUACGAGAGUCAGUCCGGAAGAGCAUCCGAAGACAGGAUCGAACCACGUUUAAAUUCCGCGCGCUACGUAGACGUAGUACCGUACGUGCGUGCGUGCAUUGCCACCGUGGUGCGCUGGUACGUGGUGACCGUCGGCCGGCCCCGGCAUCGGUUGAAGGGCAGCACGUGCCCCCCGCGCCGCGCCCAUCAUCCAGAAUCCAUCCGGGAUCCGCCCGCGCCUGCCGUCGGGUCCCGCGAUGCAAUCGGCCAUGAUGCUUGAUGCCGCCGGGCCGUGCCACGGUGGUGGUGCCCUGCACAGCUCGACGCAAACUGUAGCGCCUAUGCGCCACCGCUGCACCUCCCCACAGCCAACCAUCCGAUCCCAGCGACGACCCUCCCCAUCCCCUUCCCGUGCAAGCUUCCGAGGCUCGACCCGAUCCUUCCACACAAGCAAUGAUCCAUGAUUCACGAUUGUGUGAUCGUAGCACGCCCUGCUACCUCAAUCAGCUUCCCUUUCUUUCCGUGGUCUUGUCUACUAGUCCCUCAGCUCCCAAAUAUAAGUUUUUCUAGAGAUUCCAACAAGUGACUACAUACGGAACAAAAUAAGUGAAUCUACACUCUAAAAUAUGUCUACAUAUUUGAAAUGUCUAAAAAGAUACUCCCUCCGUUCCUAAAUAUUUGUUUUUCUAGACAUUUUAAAUGACUACUAUAUACGGAUGUAUGUAUACAUAUUUUAGAGUGUAGAUUCACUCAUUUUGCUCCGUAUGUAGUCACUUGUUAAAAUGACUAGAAAGACAAGUAUUUAGGAAUGGAGGGAGUAUAUAUUUAGAAACGAAGGAAGUACUCUACUGUGCAUGCACAGACAAAAGGGCCGCUUUUCCUCAACUGAUCAACAUAUUAUACCUGCAGCGACAUGUCGUGCCACCCAGCUCGCCUCCUUUCUUUUCUGCCGGUGGGUUGGGUUGGAUUGGACGCCAAGAGGCCAGAUACACACACACACACUCACACCUAUGCUUCAUUAGCAAUCAACCACUUCCUAGAUUAGACUAGAUUAGGUUAGGGGGCCCGGGCUAGGCGGGCGAAUUAUUGGGCGGUAAUUCGCCGAUGAUGUGAGUGAAGCCAUGAUGCGAUUGCUGCAGCUGUUACUCGACUGCUAGUACUGUGCUACGGCCUACAGUACGUAGCAGCGUAGCAGGAGUACUGUACUGCUGCCGCCGUGUGUGGCUGUGGGCUGGGGUGCUCAGAUCGGCAGCGGGUGGGCCGGUUUGGUGGGAUGGUACUACACAUCUUGUCCGAAACUGAUUGGCUCGGCCUGCCCAAAGUGCGUGUUACCCGACGGAAUGGUACGUAGAUACAUCCAUUUCUGCGACGAGUAAUUCAAAACGAAAGGAGUAUUUUUUUAUUUUUUACAAGCUACUUCAGCAGUGUUAUGGUAAUAGUGCUGUGUGUGUCCUGUGUGUCUGAGAAAAGCUACAAGGUUUGUUGUGCUUCCCAGAUGCUGAGUGUGCUACUAUCAUCUGGCACCCACUCAAGGAAGCAACAAAUUUGGCUUAAAUAUUCCUUGGAGAAAGUAUUUCCUUCUGUCGAAUGCCCUCAGAGACCGACACAUUUUCCCCUCCCUUUUGCGGCAAAGCACGGCUGUUUUUUUUUCUGUAGAGAAGCACUGCUGGUUGUUUGCAGCCAAGUCUGUCACCAGUGUGAGAGACCGGCCCAAUGGAGUGAUACUUUUUGUUUGUGCUUUUUUUGUACUAGUGGACAGUGGUGGUGCUGCUGCUGCUGAACAGACGGUUAUGCUUCCCAAGUGCUGACCAUGCUAAAUUUGGGUAUGAAAUCCUAUGAAGAGAGGUUCUUUUUUCUUCACAGCCUUCAAAGAGAAAAUGGACGCAUGAAAUCAACCAUCUGUUCUAGAUCAGGUGAUUUCUGUCUCCAAGGGUAGCAACAGACGCGGCAAAAUCAAGAGUCAUGAUGCAGUUAACCGGCGAAAGCUUAUUAAUAAUCAUGAUCAUAUGCAUCGUUCUGAUGCAGAGGCUGGGGCAAACCCCCUUUUCGAAGAAAAAAAGUUAACCGGCGAAAAGCGAAAACUCGAUGCAAAAGACUACAUAAGCCACAAAAAGCCUCUGCCUUUAGGUGAUCACUUUGAGCAAUUUGGCAUUCAUGCUCGAUGAAAAUAUCAUGCCACGAGGAAGAGGAAUGUGGUACGGUAUCGCAAUUAGCAUUUCCAACGGAUGACCACAAACACCUCAGCUUGUGCACCGUGCGUGCGGCGUGUAUAAUAUUCUUCACUCUUCGGAGUGUAGCAACCUGUACGAUGUCAGCUACACUAACCCUUCUCCGGCAGAUCAGAUCCUUCCCAGAUGAUAUACUAUACUCCCAGAAACCCGGGUGAGGUGCUCCUGCACUUCUUUCAGUCAAAGGGUUGAUCAGCACUCGUGUGCUCAAUUCGCGCGUCAAUUCUCGAACCCAAGGUUCUUCCUUCGCUCAAGGGAAGAAGAGCUUCGCGUAGAGCAGCUCGUUCCAGGUGUCCUGGAGUCCCGGGAGGCACCAAUGCGUGCAGUCGGCGUAGCUCUUAGGGUUGGCGAUCUGCUCCGGGGUCAGCGGGUUCCACUGCUUCUUGUAUAUCUGGGUGUGCGCGUCUUUGCGGUACUCAGAGAGCUGGGUGAUGUUGACGACCCCAACGGGGACCUUAGAAGCACUGAACACUUCGCCGAUAACCCGCAUCAGGCCCUUGCUGGUGCCUGGUCCCCAGUAAGACAAAUCUUUGAUUGGGG